RNAcentral lists this long non-coding RNA (52908 nucleotides) under Malus domestica (apple). Its description in RNAcentral is "long non-coding RNA (MDOM_LNC009876)". Lineage: Eukaryota; Viridiplantae; Streptophyta; Magnoliopsida; Rosales; Rosaceae. The record is from RNAcentral.
AAGCGAAGGUGAGUCAAACUCAUCCAGUCAUCUCUGGUAUGAAUUUGAAGCAUUUCACUUAUGAGGAGCUAAACAACGCUACGAACCAAUUCAAGGAAGAACUAGGACGCGGUGCUUCUGCAAUAGUUUUCAAAGGAGUUCUAGCCUCAGAUAAUGGGAAGAGCGUUGCUGUCAAAAGCUUAGACACUAGGGUCGGAGAAAAUGAUUUGGAAUUCAAAGCGGAAGUAAGUGCUAUUGGCAGAACAAACCACAGAAAUUUAGUCCAGCUACUUGGAUUUUGUUACGAGGGAGAGCACCGAAUUCUUGUGUAUGAGUUUAUGAGCAACGGAUCUUUAGCAGGUGUCCUCUUUGGAGAGUCGAUGCCAAACUGGUACCAAAGGAGGCAAAUCGCCUUGGAAAUUGCAAGAGGGCUGUUGUAUUUGCAUGAGGAAAGUAGCAGCCAAAUCAUACAUUGCGACAUCAAGCCUCAAAACAUUCUUCUUGAUGAAAAUCUCACUGCAAGAAUUUCUGACUUUGGUUUAGCAAAGCUUUUGAGAAUCGACCAGACUCUAACCAUGACCGGAAUCAGGGGAACAAAAGGUUAUGUGGCCCCUGAAUGGUUCAAAAGGUUGCCUAUCACGGCCAAGGUUGAUAUUUACAGCUACGGAAUUCUGUUGUUAGAGAUAAUUUUCUGCAGGAAGCAUUUCGAGGCAGCGGCUGAGGAUGAAGGUCCAACGAUAUUAGCUGAUUGGGCCUACGAUUGCUAUAAGCAGAAUAAGCUGCACCAGCUAUUCAAGAAUAACGAUGAGGCAAUGCAUGACAUGAAGAUGGUGGAGAAGUAUGUGCUGAUUGCAAUAUGGUGCAUUCAGGAGGAUCCAUCGCUUAGACCUAACAUGAAGAAAGUCACAUUGAUGCUCGAAGGAACCGUCGAAGUCUCAGCUCCACCCGAUCCAUCUUCUUUCAUAAGUUCAAUACUUUAAGUUCUUCCAAUAAUAAUCCCAUUUCUUAUGUAUAUCAAAAGUUUUGUGUAUUUUUCAUUUUCAAGUACUCUUUGCUCUUAACGUACUGUAUGGUAUUGAAUGUACAUAAUUCUCUUAAAAUGUCCGAAUAAAUAGAGGAAUUAUCAGUUGUAUAAAACAUGGUCCGUCGUUUUCUAUGUCUAAAUAAAUAGAGGAAUUAUCAAUGGAGGAACCUUAACUAUUUUCAUGGUAUAAGAGUAGGUUGGCCUACGUGUGAAGUUUAACGGCUACACGUGCUCCGCUGCACCUAAUUUGUGUUGUCCACGUUUUUGGCUUGAAAAUUCGUCACACGUGAGGUGACAUGUGAGGUUGUGAAGGUUAAGGAGUCAUAUCAGUGAAAUGAGGCUUAUAAGAGGUUGACAUGAAUCGUUAGAUACAUGAGAUACUGCUACUUCAGUUUCGCAGCUUAUCUGAAUUUUAUUUACCCGGUGCACCAUUUUCACAGUGCAGUAGUAGUUUUAUAGGUUGAUAGGAAUCGUUAGAUAUGUGGGAGGUAGCUGUGUUAGUGUUGAGCAUCUAGAGUGACUAGGUUCCUUGCCUUUAUUUACCUUUCAUUUUAGUACUUCACUUUGCAAGCCUACGGGCAAUAAAUAGAUUAAAUAUCACUUAAAACUAUAAUAUCUUUCCUAAUCGCUGAAAGAAUAAUCUACAGCACGGCAACUACAGAGACUUCUAGUGAUUAAAUUAGAAGUCAGGUCGAAGAUAUGAGUCAUGGUUUACUGACUCUGGGACAACAGGCCAAGUAUUUUUCAGGUUUUAUAUUUGGGAGGACAAGUAUUUUUCAGGUUUCUAAUUGGGAGGACGGCAAGUCUCUUUUCAAUCUUUAUAUAUUUGGAAAUCACUUGGAAACUUUCUUCCUGGAAUGGUUCACGUUUUUAUGAGUAAUGCUACACUUAGGGCUGGAAAAAAUUCCCGAAAAUCCCGAACCAAACCAACAAAAUCCCGAUCCCAAACCAAAAAAAAUCUCAAACCAAAAUUCCCAAAAUUUUUAGGAUGAAAUACCGAACUGAUCCUAAAAUUUCGGUAUGGGAUUCAGUAUUGUCUACUCAAUCUUUCGGUAAUCCCAUACCGAACCAAAAAUAAAUAAUAUAUUAUUAUUAUUAUUAUUAUACAUUUGAAUGGUUGACAAGUACUAGUUGCAAUAUAAGUCUACAGGUAGUAAUCAUAGCCCUUUAUCGCCUUGCGUGUACAAAUCUCCCAUUAAUGUGUCUAUUUCUUCAACACGAAAUCAAAAAAAUUGUAUUGUUAGUUUUCAAACAUAUUAGGUUUUUUUAUGCACAAAACCGGAGGGUCUUGGAACAACGUAAAUCAGACCGUGAAUCUGUAAGAAAGUAAAGAACACAAGAUGUAUCGUGGUUCACCCCAAUGUUUGGGUUACGUCCACACUGAUAUUGUAUUUCUCUAUUUGUGAGAGGAUGAGAGGGUGAGAGCUUCUGAGGGUGAGAGAGCUCUUCCCAUGACCUAAGAAUUGGCCUUUUUUAAUGAGGAGAGUGAGAGGUCCUUUUAUAGAAUAAGGGUUCAUCACUUAUUACAUAGUUGCCCCUCCAUUUAUAGCAUAAUGACAUUUGAGUCCCCCGAGUAUUUAUACGAGGUCUAAAUACGGAUGCCCUAAGUAUGGUACAAACAGUAGUCCCCCAAGUCUUCAGUCAAGAGAGUCUUUUGGCUGGAGACUUGAAAUUCAGUCCAUGUGUGGGCCGAAGUAACUAGAUGUCGUCUAGAACAAAAUACUCGAUGUGAGGCGGUGCUCAAUGUGAAAUGAUGUUCAACUAGAAGUAGCACAUGUUGCGAGGCUGCUUGGCUUAUGCCUUAUGUUGCCUUGGUUGGCUCAGCUUGUGGCGUUGAAGGUGAAGAGGUCAUUUUUAUAGAAUAAGGGCUCGCUCCUCAAUACAUAAUUGAUGGGCUAGAGUUGAUGCUCGCGGCGAGACGGUUGCUCAGUUGGCGGCGAUGCUUUCUAAUGAUGGUGAGGGAGUCCCUUUUAUAGAAUAAGGGGUCGCUCCUCAAUACAUGAAUAAUGGGCUAGAGUUGAUGCUCGCGGCGAGGCGGUUGCUCAGCUGGCGACAAUGCUCUCUAAUGAUGGUGAGGGGGUCCCUUUUAUAAAAUAAGGGCUCGCUCCUCAAUACAUGAAUAAUGGGCUAGAGUUGAUGCUCGCAGCGAGGCGGUUGCUCAGCUGGCGGCGAUGCUCUCUAAUGAUGGUGAGGGGGUCCCUUUUAUAGAAUAAGGGAUCGCUCCUCAAUACAUGAAUAAUGGGUGCUCUCUAAUGAAAGUGAGGGAAUCCCUUUUAUAAAAUAAGGGUUCGCUCCUCAAUACAUAAAUAAUGGGCUAAGUCCCCCAAGUAUUUUUUAUGAUGCCCAGUUGAGGCCUAAUAUAUGGUACAUAAUGUAGUCCCCCAAGUCUUCAGUCAAUAGAGUCUGUUGGCUGGAAACUUCAAAUUGAAUCCAUGUAUGGGCCGAAGUGGCGGUUGUUCGAAGGCGGUAUUUGUAUACCCUGCACUGAAGCUUUGUAGGUGAAGCAUUGCAAGUGAAGCUUUUGAAGCUGAUUGACAUGAGUGAUGUUCAUGGAUGUUGACAUGAGUGAUGUUCAUGGAUGUUAACAUGAGUGAUGCUCAUGAAUGUUGACAUGAAUGAUGCUCAUAAAUGUUAACAUGAAUGAUGGUCAUGAAUGUUUAUGUAUGAUUGAUAUGAGUUAUGCUCAUGAAUGUUUAUGUAUGAUUGACAUGAGUGAUGCUCAUGUAUAAUUUUGGAAUAGUGGACGUACUUUUGAUCACCUGGUUGGUGGUAAUAGCGGCAGGCUGCCGAAUAAUUUUUUGUAGCACUGGACGUACUUUUGAUCACCUGGGCCUUCGCCCUCCACAUAACAUUCCAGCCCAUUACUUUGGGCUUGCCCUUUUUUUUUUACCUUCUGAUGGGGUUAUACAGAUGUCUCCGAAAGAUAAGAAAAAUAAACCACAUCAUUCAAAAAUAAGAAAAGUAAAUCACAUCUUUCUGGUGGGGUGUUUAUUCCUUACUUUUGCAGUGUCCUCAUGUGCCUCCCUUUUGCUUUCUGCUUUUUCUCAGUUUUUUCUGCUUUGCUUUUGCUUUUGCUUUUCUUCUUUUCUCUUUUCUGCUGCACCUCUCUUUGUCUCUCCACCUCCAGACAUACUCACAUGUAGUUGCUUUUGCUUUCUCUUUUCACUUUCUUUUUCUUUUUCUGCUUAGGCUCAGUGGACGAAAACAGGCAUAUUCUGAUCCCUUUUCCGGCAAGCCCACUUGACAGCGGAUUCAAUGGCAGCCAGGCAAAUUGUUUGAGCUCCAAACAAACAUGUGAAGGUUUUUGCCACCAUCAGCCCCAAUGGGUUUCUUCUCGGCCCUGGCAGCGGGUCCAGUCACCGGAGAGAAGAUAAUUACCAAAAUUUAAAUGCUCAUUCUUCCUUUCAGAGCUAGUCUCCAUUGUAAAAGUGCUUAUCCUGAGCCCAAAUAGUAUAGUUCACAUUGCUGGUCCAUAUUCUUGUUCAUUGCAGUUUCACCUUCAGCUUUCUCAUCAUCUGUCAUAUCUCUCGAGGAUCCACUAGUUGCUUGCCUUACUGGGAUCGCAGAUCUAUAUUGCGUUGCAGGUAACGAAAGUGAAUCAUACCCAGCUCAUUUCGAAGGGGCUUGAGAUAUGAGUUGUGAAGUACUAGAAGCGUGUGAUCCGCUGUCAGUUAACGUAACAGGUUCUUGAGCGUUCACCAACUAUCCAUUUACCUACGACAGAGCCAAGGUAGCGCAGGCGAGAUCAAGCUUGGUCUUCAAGAACGUCUGGUACUCCUCGGAAUCGACGACGACAUUAGGCGGUCGCAGGUUAAACGCCGCCGUAUUAUUGUUGCAAUGAGUUGAGUUGGAUUGGGGUGGGGGUGCUGGGAAUUGACCAUCUUGAUCUCUUUGACGUCGUCUUGGUCGGGAUCAUGAGCUGAAGAAGAAGAAGAAGGAUGCGGAGGUGGCGGCGUCAGUGAGGAGGAUGACGACGAGUGGGGAUAAGCUUCUUAAUCUGAGGGUACUAAGAGGAUCUGACAGAGCCUAGGAGCGUGAGGCUCGUCCGUGGAGGACCUGUCUGCAGCUCCCCGGUUUCGCCAUCGGGACCCCUUUUGAACUGCAUGAAAUCCGUAAUUGAAUUGUUCUGCAAAAACUGGUCGGCGGAGCCAUUCUCAAUUGGGCUGAGGGAGGAAAAACCGAAAACCUUGAAAGGAAUGAGCUUUGAGGGUCUGGAGAAUCUGAGGGUCCAUUUGGAGGAUUCGAAGGGUCUGGCUUUGAAGCUGGAGGAGGUGGAUUUACAUCGAAAUGAGUGGAGAGAGAAGCUGAGACCAUGCUUGCUUUCUCCACAGAGAAAGAGAUGAGAGAGAGGUUCUGUCUCGGUGGAUUUGCAGAUCUGGGUCCUUAUCUCCCUAAAUAUCUGGGUCCUCCUCUGCCAUUCUAUAGGUGUUUGGUUUCUUGGAUUUUGCAGAUUCACAGCAGAGGUGAGAAAAUGAAAGAGAACCGACAUAGUUUUUUGUGUCGUUUCCCACAGACGACGCCAAAUGUUAAUGCACAAAAUCGGAGGGGUCUUGGAACAACAUAAAUCUGACCGUGAAUCUACAAGAAAGUAAAGAACACAAGAUGUAUUGUGGUUCACCCCAAUGUUUGGGCCACUGAUAUUGUAUUUCUCUAUUUGUGAGAGGAUGAGAGGGUGAGAGCUUCUGAGGGUGAGAGAGCUCUUCCCAUGACCUAAGAAUUGGCCUUUUUUAAUAAGGAGAGUGAAUGGUCUUUUUAUAGAAUAAGGGCUCCUCCUUUAUUACAUAUUUGCCCCUCUAUUUAUUGCAUAAUGACAUUUGAGUCCUCCGAGUAUUUAUACGAGGUCUAAAUACGAAGGCCCUAAGUAUGGUACAAACAAGGUUUGUAACUUAUUUUUUUGCUUUUGGGUUUGUUACUUGUUUUAUUUUGGUUGCAUGUUAAUUUAACUUGGUAUGAAUGAUUGCUAUUUCAAUUUGUAUGAAAUUUGGGAAUAUCAAAUCAUCCCGAAAUACCGAAAAUAUUUCGAGAAUCCCGAAAAUUGAGAAUACCAAAAUUUUGGUUUGGUAUUGGUCUUCAAAUUUUCAUCUCGAAAAAUUUCGAUUUGGGAUUCGGGAUCCCAUUUUCAAUUUAGGAUCCCAUACCAAAUCACCCCUAGCUAUACUUACCAUAUUUUUCAUAUUACAUUUGUACCACCUCUCUCAUAGAGAUAGAGCCUAUCAACACAUGUGGUCUCAUCUCUAUGAGUAAUGGUACACUUACCACCUAAUUGUACCAUCACUCUUUAAUAGAGGUAGGGUCUGCCAACGCAUAUGGAUUCUAUCUCUAUUAGAUGAAUUUUCAAGCCUAACAUGUCAACAACACAAUAGGAUGACUUGAAGCACGUGUGACCGUUUGACUUCACACGUGAGACAACAUGCUCUGAUACCAUGAAGAAAAUUAAGGUUACAUCAUAAAAUCAAUUGACAAUAUGAAAAGUAACUCAACCUACUUAUAAGCCUAUGCAAGGUUCCUACUCCUAUCAAUGUGAGAUUCAUUCUCCACUUCCCAUACUAGAAUUUUUAUUAUCUAACAGUUAAGGCUUUAAUGUCGGAAGUUGCACCAGCUUUAGUAUACUCUUGUCGGAUUUGAUGAACCCGUUCAGUGGUUGGAGCUAAAAACAAUACUAUUGGGCCAUCUCCAGGUGCUGGAGAAAAAAUUUAAAAUGGAAAACUUAUUCGAUUAAUAUGUAACCAAUAUAUAUGAUUCAAAUCAAAGAGAUAGGAUUUGAUUAUAUCAAGGAUAACUAACAUAUAUAAUAUUCACAUAACUGGCUGGGAGUUUACAUGGACAAUUGCAGGCAUCAGAUACUCUAGCGUCUUCCGUACCCUGGUUGAGCAAUACCAAUGAGAUAACGGCCCUCCAAAGCCAUUGGCCAUGCUUAAGCUUGAAUUGGUGUAGGCCUUACAAAUCCAGCUUAAAUUCUUCUAUAUCAAGAGAAAUCAUUCUAUAAAUAUAUAUAGAUAACUUCCAACAAAGAAUAACCAUCACAUAUAUGAUAUUAUGUAAUAUAUUAUAACAAAUAAGGUUUUUUUAGCCAAAAUGGUUCAUGAGAUUUUACUAAAUCCUCACUUUAGUCCCUGAGAUUUGAAAUCAAUAGAAGUGGUCCCUGAAAUUGUCAACCAUCAAUUAUUUUGGUCAUUCGGUGAAAAAUUAUGUUAAAUAAGGAUCCAAAUAACAAAAUUACCCUCAAUAUAAUAAACAAUAGGCCAAAAUGAUUUGACAAAAAUUGAGGGUAUUUUUGUUAUUUUAUCCUUAUUUUAUGAAGAUUUUUCAAAAAGGGACCACAAUGAUUGAUUGUGGACAAACUCAUUAACGAAUUCUAUUGAUUUCAAAUCUUAAAGAUCAAAGUGAGCAAUUAUACAAAUCUCAUGAUCAUUUUGGCUGAAAAACCUAACAAAUAAUAAAGAAGAGAAGAAGAAAAGUACGUACUUGGAAACGGAGUACGACCGAAAGUCCUGGUGGGUUUUGGAACUUUACGACUCAAGGGUGUUUGGAACUUUAAAUUGGAGAAAGGAGAAGAAUGUGCUUCCUCCAGUUGAGCAUAUCAAAAGACGUAAGUAAUUCAGAUGCCCGUAUAACUUGAAAGUGAUGCCGCAAGGGUGGGGCUUGGAGAAGAUGAAACUUAAAGGAGAUUGAGAACAGUAGGAGAGUUUAGUGAAAAGAGAGAAGUUUUGAUUUGUAGUAGGUAAAUUUGGAUGCCCAUAUAAUUUGAAAGUGAUGCCUAUUAUUUUCUUCAUUAUGUUGGACCGCUAAGAAAUUGUGGCAGAUUUGCCAUAUAAAUUUUUGUAACUUUGAUGGCACCUCAAGCUUCCAAAUUUCAGCCCAAGGCUUUUGAUUUUCUCUAAGACCAUCUCCAACCCUGGGCUAAAAGCCAAAUUACCCCCCCCAAACACUGUCCAACCCAUGCUAAAAUUUUAGGCUAAAUGCCAAAUGCUAUUUCUGGGCCAAAUACCCCCCAGCUUUCCCCCCGGGCUAAAUGCGAAAUGUUUAUCGGAAUUGAAAUUUUUUUAGAUUAAAAUGUUCAUAAAAUUAAUUUACAAUAAUCUACAUAUUUAUUUUUUUUUUAAAUUGAUUUAAGAAAAAAAUUUAGGCUAAUUUCAUUCUUUAAUAAUUCCGGGCUAAAAUUUUAGGGUAGAAGGGUUGGAGCAGAAAAGAUGUUUCUGGGCUAAAAGCUAAAUUUUCCAGGCUAAAAAAUUUGGCUUUUAGCCCAAAGGUUGGAGAUGGUCUAAAAGAGCUUGUUUAGAGAGGCCGUUCAAGGCAGAAGAAUGUUAGGCAAUCUCUAUUGGAGAUGACUAAAAGGCCAUAGACUAUUCUUUAGCCCGAUUUGUUAAAAAACUCAACUUUAAUAGAGGGUUGGGUCCAAAACAAGUGGAACACAUCAGGCCAAAUGAUAACCUUUUGGCAAUCUGGCUGGCUACUUCUAGCCCCCUUACCAGCCCGUUUGUUGGGGCCCAAUCUGUCACCUUUAGACCAUCUCCAAUCUUUGGGCUAAAAGCCAAAUUUUUUAGCCCGAAAAAUUUGACUUUUAGCUCAGAAACAUCUUUUCUGCUCCAACCCUUCUGUCCUAAAAUUUUAGCCCGGAAUUAUUAAAGAAUAAACUUAGGCUAAUUUUUUUCUUAAAUCAAUUUUUAAAAAUAAAUAAAUAAAUAUGUAGAUUAUUGUAAAUUAAUUUUAUGAACAUUUUAAUCUAAAAAAAUUUAAAUUCCGAUAAACAUUUGGCAUUUAGCCCGGGGGAAAGCUGGGGGGUAUUUGGCCCAGAAAUAACAUUUGGCAUUUAGCCUAAAAUUUUAACAUGGGUUGGAGAGUGUUUGGGGGGGGGGUAAUUUGGCUUUUAGCCCAAGUUUGGAGAUGGUCUUAGCCUGCUAACAUCAGCAGCAGCGAAUAACUAACUUCAGCUUGCUGUUUAAUUUUUUUUUUCAGACGAAAUUAAAAAAAAAAUUAAUUUUUUUCCUAUAAAUACCUAUGACAUUUCUACACUAUUUCUCACAUUCUUUUUACCCGUACAUACUAUUUUACCUCAUUUUAUUCAAAACUUUCACAUUCUGUUCACCUCAAACACUCUUUUCAUACAAUUUUUAAUGUCUAAGUUGUUAACAUGCAAGUAAUAUUAAAAUAUUUAACAAAAUAUGUAACAAUACAAACAUGAAAUUUAAACAAUAUGUAACAAUACCAACAUGUAACAGUACCAAUAAGUUAAAGAACAAACUUAAAAAUAUUAAAUUAUUGAGGGGCUAUGUUUAGCCUCUUUCGGUUGGAGAUGGUAUAUAAAUAUACUUUGGCACUGUUCAUUUAAAAAUAAUAUUUUGUAGGGCUAUAAUUGUAAACGUGGCUAUACUUAGCCCUUUCGGUUGAAGAUGUCCUUAAAAAGAAAAAUGAAGUCCUUUGCCAUACGGGUAAGAUGACUUAGAUUGUGAUAUAUCAAUAGAGGAUGCAAUAUUUUUCCUCCGCUGUAUUUUUCUCAUCAGAAUAAAAGAUAAAAAGGUAAGUGUAGGUGUGAGAACGAUUAACUUGUUGAACACCGUGUUUUACAAUAGUUGUAUAUAUGGGUGUAAGCAUCAUUUUAUUUUAGGGAACUUUAACGAUUAGGGUUUAGGGUUUUACUUUAUUCUUUAUUUUAUCCUUAUCGUUAAAACUUAAAGUUUUCAAACCCUUUUCAUUAAUUUUCCUUUUAUUUUAUAGAGAAUUGAAGAGUUAGAUGUUUUCCAAAAUAAAAUAACAAUUACAGGGGUUCGAUCAUGUGCCAGGUCCAAAUGAUGAGCCUAAAUAGAACUAGACCGAAUUAAUUGAUGGGCCCGAUCCAAAUAGAUCCAGAACAACCGCGAUCAGAUCCUAAAUCGAAACCGAAACAAAAUUCUACACGGUUAUUUAAUUCGCUCAUCGUGGUGGUGAUUGGUACCAAAAUUUCGAAACCCUACCUUAAGCCAUAAGGUAUCUCGAAUAUGGUGAAGCGCUCCAAUGACCCCAAUGGGAAGCGUUCUCGGACAAGAAGAAGGUGACUCUCUCUAUCUCUCUCGCAUGGGCAAUUGGAUGUGAAUUUAAACUUGCUAAAAUUUGGGAUUGAAGAAAAACCUAAUAAUUUUGUGUUGUUUGUUUCAGACUCAGUGGGUUGAAUGCUGUUGGUGAUGGUGAUGGUGAUGGUGAUGCUGCUCAAGGCACCUCAAAAGUUAGGAAUGGGCGAGUGCAAUUGGGCACCUCAAAAUUUGCUACUCUUCUUCGAGUCAAGGAGUCUACAAGGCAACGGAAGCCGAAGCGGAGGGAAAUUACUACCUCCGUAGAGGUCCAAGAGUGUAGGCACCGGGUCAAAGAGUAUAGGCAGCUAAGGGGAAUUACUGUUUCAAGCCGCAAUGUUCCAAAACCCAUCAGGACUUUGGGUCGCACUCCGUUUCCGGGUACCUACUUUUUACUUUUUUUGUUUUCUCCUUCUUCUUGUUGUAUUAUGUGUUGGAAGCUAGCUACAUGCAUAUAUCUAUUGAAAUGAUUUCUCUUGAUCGUAGAAUAUGUUAAGGAUGAAUUUUCAAAAGCUGGAUUCGUCAGGCCUACACCAAUUCAAGCUCAAGCAUGGCCAGUGGCUUUGGAGGGCCGUGAUCUCAUUGGAAUUGCUCCACCAGGAUCCGGGAAGACGCUAGCGUAUCUAUUGCCUGCAAUUGUCCAUGUAAAAUCCCAGAAAAGACUAUGUGAGUAUUUUAUAUGUUAGUUAUCCUUAAGAUGAUCAAAUCCUGGCUCUUUGAAUCCUAUAUAUUUGGUUUAUAUUUAUCGGGAUUAAGUUUUCCAUUUUACAAUUUUUCUUCAGCUUGUGGAGAUGGCCCAAUAGUAUUGAUUUUAGCUCCAACCUGUGAGCGCGCUCGUCAAAUCCAACAAGAGUGUACUAAAUUUGCUGCAGCACACAUUUUCGCCUUACUCGGCGGUGAACUGGAUUGUUAUAAAAAUUCUCUUGUGGCAUGUGGUAGGUGGUGGUGCUGGUGAUGAACUACGUUUGACAUUGUAUUCUUAUUAUUGUGCUACUGCUAUGCUAUUUCAUUUAUCGGAUAUUAUCUACCUUGAUAUUCUGUUGUAGGCAUUGGUUAUAGUAACAUGACUCAUAAUCGAUUUUGUGUAGGCCGGUGACUUUAAGGAGGACUUCUUGUUUGAGUAUAUAGUUAUUCUUCUUAUUGAUUGCAAUUAAUAUUUUGGCUCAGGAGUUGGAAUUUUAAUUGACACACCUGAGGCCGUGCUUCAUGCGUUAGAGUCAUGUCAUACAAACUUGCAAAGGGUCACAUACCUUGUGGUGGAUGGUGCUGAUUGGAUGCUAGCAGAAGAAGGCGUAGCAGAAGAAGGCGAGGACUGUAAGUCUCUAGUACAAGAAGUUCUUUCUCAGGUUUGAGAUAUUACUCCUACUUGGCUCUUCAUACUUGCGGUGUUAUUUCUUAAAUGUUGAACUCUUUAGCAUUUUUAAAUCCCCUCACUCACACCCACACAAUGUGUGUGUGUGUUUAUAUCUCAGAGUUUAUAUUCGGUUGAAAAUUGUAUUUUGGGUUUUCUGUAUACAGAUUCCCCCAGACUGUCAAAAAUUGUUCUGGGGUAGUAGCUGGCCGGAGGAGGCUGAUGAACUUGCCAGGCCAUUCCUUCGCGAUGCAAUCAAAGUAAUAGAUCUCUUACUCUUUGUUUUUUGUUUUUUUUUUUUGGCAUCACUUAGUCAUUUUUAAUUGUUGUAACAGGAUAUUAUUAGUAGUCACAAAAUGUCUUCUAUCUUGGGAUGGCAAUAGUUAGUGCUCUUGACAUAUUUUUUGGGUUGUAAUACUCAAUACUUGUUAUGAAAUUUAUCUUUGGAUGUUGAACAGGUUGAAAUAGGUUCUCCAGUUCUGAAAGCUACACAUCCAAUAGUCCAAAUUGUUGACAUCGUUGCUGAAGAUCAGAAAUAUGACAAGUUGGGAACAUUCUAAUGGUUGAUCUUGUGCAGUUAGUUUGAGGUUAUAUCUACAUUUGUGAUUUGUUUCAAAUUUUCAGAUUGGUAGGCUUGCUAGGUGAUAUCGCAGAUGGCAGCAGAAUACUGAUAUUCAUGAAUAUAAAGAAUGGAUGUGAAUCAUGUAGUCUCCUCUCUCAGAAGCUUUCCAAUGAAGGUUACGCAGUCUCGGUUCAUGAAAACGUAAGUCAAUCGGAAAGGGUCCAAAUUAUCUCUGGGUUAAAAGGUGGCUAUGUCCCCAUAAUGAUUGCAACUGAUGUUGCUGCUUGUGAUCCAGGUAUCAAUAGAAUUUCUUUUAGUUUAUGAAAUGCUUGAAAGAAGUUUUUUCGCUUGUGCUUAAAGAGUUGCAUCUCUUUUUACUAUUAUAAUUUUAUUAUUGCUAUUAUAAUAUUAUUUAGAAAGAAAUAUCUUCUUCAAUCUCCUCACAGUUGAAAGCUUUAUUUAAUUUACUAGUCGACAUCCCCCUUGCCAAAAUCUUGCCCUUUUAGUAACCUAGGGUUUGUUUGGUUACUGUGGGAGUGUAGGUUUGUCAACCUGGCAAUUUUUGUUGAGUGCAUUUAACCCGUGAACUGGCCCGAAGCCUUGUUUCUAAUCACUUUGUUUCAUGCUUAAUUUGCAGUUCUGAAGAAUGUGAAAUAUGUUAUCAAUUACGACUUUCCGGGAUCCAUUGAUGAUUAUGUUUACCGCAUUAUCCUUGCUGAGCCAAAAGGAACAGCAUACACGUUCUUUACAACUGCUAAUGCUAGGUGCGCAAAGGAACUUACCAUCUUACUCGAGGAAGCUGGACAGAAGGUUAGUCCUGAAUUGGAAGCACUGGCGCGUGAUGUACGAUAUCCAGGUGAGUAACUUUAAACACUGGAUUAAAUAAUGUUGUAUACUAUGCACACGUGAUGCUAGACCUUUCAGGUCGUUGGUAUGGAAUGUUGGAUGUCUUUUUUGAUGAAAAGAGCACAUUGUCACGUCCUAACUUCUCCCUGUGUACCAGCUGCUGUCGUAUGAUUUCGUAGGGUUUUAUAUAAAUAUUCGAGCUUUGAUCUGAUUACUUAUCUGGCCGCCAUUCAUUCUUUUAAGCCUAAAACUAGUUUUGCUCCCCUACUUCAAAUAUUGACCUGACGAAGUUCACAGUUUAUUCUUCUGUGUGGUCUAUGGUUUGCGUAUGAUGCGAAUGUAUGGUUACUCUUUGACCUCCAGUUAUUUAUAUUUUUUUUUUGGGUAUGAAAGUACUAUUGCCGGUCCCAAGCCCGGAUAAAGGAGGAGGGGGAGGGCGUCAGGUAGUCGACAGCCGGCACUCCAUGACCACGUCGAAUCCUUAUGAAAAUGAAUCCAUAACAAAAUCGCGCUAAAGCUAGGGCGUCACCCGUAAGUGGCGCGCUGUGUGGCCCGAGCAUAGUGAUAAGUGAGCAAGGGUCGCUGUAUCUCCAUCGGCACCUGGAUGCAGUGUUAAAUGAGCAAGGGGGCCGUAGAAACUUCUUUUCGAACGACUCCACUCAAAGUUGUUUGGGAGCAUAUGCUCCUAUCAACUUUACACGGGACACACAAAAGAAGUACUUUGAUCCUAUUAGACGGGGGAGGGUGAAGAAGCUAGGACAGAAGGGUAGAGUUCAAGAGAGCAAAAUGCGUUUAGGAACGUGGAAUAUAGGAACCUUAACGGGAAAAUCUAUGGAAGUAGUGGAAGUUAUGGUGAGGAGAAGGAUAAAUAUUAUGUGCCUACAAGAAACUAAGUGGGUUGGUAGCAAGGCAAAGGAUCUAGAAAACUCAGGGUUUAAACUUUGGUAUUCGGGCACAAAUAGAACGAGAAAACGGUGUUUGGCAUCAUCGUGGACAAGACCUUGACACAAGAUGUUGUAGAUGUCAAGAGGGUAGGAGAUAGAAUCAUGGCAAUCAAGAUUGUAAUAGGACAAGAACUUAUCAAUGUGAUUAGUGCGUACGCACCUCAAGUAUGGUUGGAUACGAGUUCGAAGGAGAAAUUUUGGGAAGACCUUGGAGACUUGGUGCAAGGAAUUGCUCAGACGGAGAAGUUAUUUAUAGGAGGAGAUUUAAAUGGACACAUGGGCAGGGAGACAGGCAACUAUGGAGGUUUUCAUGGUGGCCAUGGUUUUUGGGGAGAGAAACGAGGAUGGGGAAGCUAUCUUGGAUUUUGCAAUGGCAUAUGAUCUCUUCUUAGCCAACACCUUCUUUAAGAAGAGAGAAGAACAUGUGAUCACCUACAAGAGUGGGUCGUCAAAAACACAAAUAGAUUUUCUUCUAAUGAGGAAAGGGGAUCGUAUAACUUGUAAGGAUUGCAAAGUUAUACCAGGAGAGAGCGUGGCUAAUCAACAUCGCUUGUUGGUGAUGGAUGUACAUAUCAAAAGAGUGAGGCAAAAAGAACAAGACUUGGAAGUGCCCAAGGACUAGAUGGUGGAAUCUAAAAGAAGAAAAACAAGCCAUUUUCAAAGAGAAGGUAAUCACCCAAUGUGUGUGGGAUAGAGAGGGGGAAGCUAGCCAAAUGUGGGAUUCCAUGGCUAGUUGUAUCCGAAAAGUAGCAAAAGAGGUAUUAGGAGAGUCCAAGGGCUUUGCCCCACACCAAAAGGAAUCUUGGUGGUGGAAUGAGGAGGUACAAACAAAGGUGAAGGCUAAGAAGGAAUGUUGUAAAGCCUUAUACAAGGAGAGGACCGAUGAAAAUGGUGAAAGGUAUAGAAAAGCGAAGCAAGAGGCGAAGAAAGCUGUCAGAGAAGCUAAGUUAGCGGCUUACGACGAUAUGUAUAAACGACUAGAUACCAAAGAAUGAGAGUUGGAUAUCUAUAAACUAGCUAGAGCAAGGGAAAAGAAGACAAGGGACCUAAACCAAGUGAGGUGCAUCAAGGAUGAGGAUGGAAAGGUUCUUGCUAUAGAGAACGCGGUUAAAGAUAGAUGGAGAGGUUAUUUUCAUAAUCUUUUCAAUGAAGGACAUGAAAGGAGUUCUUCUUUAGGGGAGUUGAGUAACUCAAAAGAGUGUAGAAACUACUCUUUUUAUCGUCGAAUCCGGAAGGAAGAAGUGGUUGUAGCUUUGAAGAAGAUGAAGCAUAGAAAAGCAAUAGGCCCAGACGAUAUACCAAUCGAAGUGUGGAAAGUUUUGGGAGAUACAUGUAUAACAUGGCUCACUGACCUUUUCAAUAGGAUUUUGAAAACGAAGAAGAUGCCAAAUGAGUGGCGAACGAGCACUUUGGUGCCUAUCUACAAGAAUAAGGGCGACGUACAAAAUUGCAUGAACUAUAGGGGUAUUAAGUUAAUGAGUCAUACAAUGAAGCUCUGGGAGAGAGUCAUUGAGCAUAGAUUGAGGCAAGAGACACGGGUUUCGGACAACCAAUUCGGGUUCAUGCCAGGGCGCUCAACCAUGGAGGCAAUCUAUCUCUUACGAAGAUUGAUGGAAAGAUAUAGAGAUGGGAAAAAGGAUUUACACAUGGUCUUUAUAGAUUUGGAAAAAGCGUAUGAUAGGGUCCCAAGAGACAUUCUUUGGAGGAUUUUAGAGAAGAAAGGAGUACGAGUAGCUAUAUCCAAGCUAUAAAGGAUAUGUAUGAAGGAGCAAAGACUGCCGUAAGAACUCAUGAAGGACAAACCGAAAGCUUUCCCAUAACUGUAGGAUUACAUCAAGGCUCAUCCUUAAGUCCUUACCUUUUUUGCGUUGGUAAUGGAUGAGUUAACAGGACAUAUUCAAGAUGAUAUUCCUUGGUGUAUGCUUUUCGCAGAUGAUAUAGUGUUGAUAGAUGAAACUCAGGAAGGGGUAAAUGCAAAGCUUAACCUUUGGAGAGAAGUGUUGGAAUCUAAAGGUCUUCGCCUAAGCCGAUCAAAGACAGAAUAUAUGGAGUGCAAGUUCAGUGCAAAUGGAGGCCAAAACGAGUUAGGGGUGAGGAUCGGAGAUCAAGAAAUACCAAAGAGCGACCGUUUUCGUUACCUAGGAUCUAUCUUGCAAAAGAACGGAGAAUUAGAUGGAGAUCUCAACCAUAGAAUACAAGCUGGAUGGAUGAAGUGGAAGAGUGCAUCUGGCGUGUUGUGUGACCGCCGUAUGCCACUGAAGCUCAAGGGAAAAUUUUAUAGGACGGCAAUAAGGCCGGCGAUGCUGUAUGGCACAGAAUGUUGGGCGGUGAAGCAUCAACACGUACACAAAAUGGGUGUAGCGGAGAUGAGGAUGCUUCGUUGGAUGUGUGGGCACACGAGAAAGGAUAAGAUUAGGAAUGAGGAUAUCCAGGGUAAAGUAGGAGUAGCCGAAAUUGAAGGAAAAAUGAGAGAAAAUCGGUUACGGUGGUUUGGACAUGUGCAAAGAAGGCCUACUGACGCUCCGAUUAGAAGAUGCGACUAUGGGACAGAGGUUCAGGGCCGAAGGGGUAGAGGAAGACCUAGGAAAACUUUGGAAGAGACUCUAAGAAAAGACUUAGAGUACUUGGAUCUAACGAAGGACAUGACACAGGACCGAGCACAAUGGCGUUCUAAGAUUCAUAUAGCCGAUCCCAUUCAGUGACUUGGAUUUUCCAAGUCUCCAACCGAGAAGUUUUCCUCACUCGGAAAAUUAAGGGAACACUACCCCAACCUACAUGCUCCACUCAGAAAGCUUCAACAUACAAGCUUCAACAAAAGAAAAUUCAAAGAACUUAGCGAAGAAGGCUUUGGUGUAUUUAACACAAUACGUUGAAAUGAAGGAAAGCUUAUUUAUUGAUAUCCCCGAUAAGCUACAAAUAUGUACAUAUACAUGAGUCAAAAAUAAACAAACAAGAUGGAGCCUUCACAAAGGUUGCUUAGGAGAAGUCUCAGCAGUCGGUAGAGCCCCAGAAAGAGAAGGCAUCGGAGGGGGAUCAUUCGGAGCCUCAGUACUGGACAGAACCCUAGAAGGAGGAGGCAUCAGAGGUUGAUCAUUUGGAGCUUCAUUACGCGGUACAGCCCCAGAAGACGAAGGCAAUAAAUGCCCUUGGAACAAACCCACAAAUCUCUGAUGAUCAAGUAAAACCUGACCAUCAGUUUCCUUCAUCUGGUCAAGCUUCCUCUUCAUGUUUGUAGCAUAGUCAUGUGCGAGCCGGUGCAACUGUUUAUUCUCAUGCUUUAGCCCUCUAAUCUCCUGUUUGAGACUCAUCACUUCGGCCGCCAAUGAUUCAACUUGGCGGGUUCGAGCAAAUAGGCGUUGGGCCAUAUUAGACACAGAACCUGCACACUGAACACUGAGAGCCAGCGAAUCCUUAACAGCUAACUCAUCAGACCGUUUGGAAAGUUGUCUGUUAUCUUUGGGAGUGAGAAGGUUCCUGGCCACCACCGCAGCGGUCAUAUCAUUCUUCAUCACAGAAUCCCCAACGGUAAGAGGACCAGUAGAGGAGACGAAGGAUGGGCGCCAUAUGUUGUCUGGAGAAGGCGGGGCUGCCUCUUCAACAAGGUUCAAGUCAAAACGACGGUCGGAGGGGCCAGACAUUUUCAAAGGUGUUGAAGAGAGAAGAGGUCGGACAAAUCAAGAUCUUAGAAGUGCAAGAAUAGAGCUUCUACUGGUGGAGAUUCAAGUGUGCUUUGGAACUUAAUGCCAGCCCCUAUAAAAAGCUGCACUCGACGGAGCUUCAGACAUCGAAGAUGCGCCUGCUUAGAAAUCGAAGAGGCGUUUGCUCUCAAAAGCUGGACUGCUUAGAGACCACGAGGGUUGAUCUCAUAAAUCGAAGAGGUGUUUGCUUUCUCAAAAGUUGGGAUGCUCAAAGACCACGAAAGCCGAUCUCAGAAAUCGAAGAGGCGCUCGCUUUCUCAAAAGCUGGGCUCCUCAGAGACCACGAGGGCCGAUCUCAGAAAUCGAAGAGGCACCUACUUUUCUAGCCUUGUCAGCACCUGUCACACGCACACUCAGCUUUGCGGAAAUUAUGGGCAUUCUGUCGAAGACUUCUGGUGAAGUAGAAAGCACAUGAAUCUUACUGUUCAAUCACCCAUUUCCCACACGCAACAAUAGCUCAUGGGUACCACAGAUAACUUUGCCAAAGUCUCUGCCAAAGUUGAGCAUGUGAAGCUUGCAGCUCUCACUACAUCGCUCUGACCAAGAAAGGUAAAAGAAUAGCAAAGAAACAGCACUAACAAAGUUUAGACACAUAAAUUUUGAAGGUCUAGCUACCAUAUUAUUACCCAUAAGGGUAAAGGAACAGUACCACUGCUGGAUAAUUGGAAAGUCCCUGUGUGUCAACCUCCGUGCUUCGUGGCAAGGUAGACUAGCAAACAUGCCCAACCUUUACUCACAUCCGAGAAAACACUCCCAACAAGAUUGCUUGCUCCAAAAUCGAAGAGGCACCGCCCUCCGAAUCUCGAGAGCCAGACUCCCAACAUGAUUACUUUCUCAAAAAUCGAAGAGACACUGCUCCCCGAAUCUCGAGAGCUAGACCCCCAACAUGAUUGCUUUCUCAAAAAUCGAAGAAGCAUUGUUCUCCGAAUCUCGAGAGCCAGUUACCACAUACCACUUUUUCAAAGUGCUAUGACAGAGUUAAAACAUGUGAAGCUGGCAGCUCCCACUACCGUGCUAUGACCAAGCAGGGUAAAGGAAUAGCAUUACUACUUGUUGUUAGGGAGACUCCUAUAUAUGUCGACCUCCAUCCCCAACGGACAGGCAGACCUGCAAAAAUGCUCAACCCUUCCUUAUAUCUGAGAGGGCACUCCCAACGAAGCCUUUCGAAAUAUUCAGUUUUCUUUCCCCCCGAUAAUACCUCUGCAAACAAGCUAUACUAGGGCAAGAAUAUCUCAUAUCAUCAGGGUUAAAAGCAAGAGUAUCCCAUAUCAUGCUUUUUCCCUGUCUUUUCCUUUGGCCUUGUUUUUACCUGCAAGACAAGGAGAAAGAAAGCAAUCAGUCAGCACUUGAAAUCAAGUUCCCAGCCAGGAACUGACUGCCUGGAACCCCUUACCUGAUUACUUACCUGGCAUUGCUCUCGAGUACUCAUCUUCAACAUCUUAUGUUUCCAGGGAAGAUACCGCAUCUGCUUGAGGAACAGAUAGGGCAAGUGCGAAGGAUACAAGGAAGCAUGUGGAGACAAGCGUAACAGCACACGUGCCGAUACAUCCAUUACUCUGUCAAAAGCAAAAGUAUCCCAUAUCAGCAGGGUGGAACGUACUCUAGAUUUGAUGGACUUGUUUUGACCCUCAAAUUAUUCAGUCGGCCUUAUACUCUGGAGGAAACCAGAAAACCCUCUAGCUCAGUUCAAGAAUAAGCCUAUGGAAAGUUACUUCUUCAAAAGCAAAAGUAUCCCAUAUCAUCUCUUCUCAUUUUUCUUCUCUUUAUCCUUCAUGCUGCUGCAAGAUGGGGAGAAGGUGAACAAUCAGCCGGAGCUCUGAUUGCUUACCUUGUCUGUCACCUCUCUUUCAGCAGAUCCCCUAGCUCGGCGACUUGGGGGACUCCUACUACAUGGUUUUGUAUCGCGCUUGACCAAGCCUGAAACUACAUGUAAGCUUCAAGUGAAAUUGAUACAUUACCUUGUGCAUCUCCAUCAGUUAAAGAUACCACCCCUGGAUGGAGGAAGAGUACUUCCAGAGAAGCUGCCACAUCUACCUAUGAGACAGAUAAGGCAAGUCAAGAUGAUACCACACUCCGAUACUUAGAAGUUUCGUGAUUACGAGAUCAUUCUCCCACAAUAUUUCCUAAUGUCAUUUGUACUCUAAUGUCAUUUGUACUAAAUCAUUCACUUGUACUCACUAAAGGAGAGCUUGAACCUAUGUACUUGUGUAAACCCUUUACAAUUAAUGAGAACUCUUCUAUUCCGUGGACGUAGCCAAUUUGGGUGAACCACGUACAUCUUGUGUUUGCUUUCCUAUCUCUAUCCAUUUAUAUACUUAUCCACACUAAUGACCGGAGCAAUCUAGCGAAGAUCACAAAAAGCGACCGUUUUCGCUACCUAGGAUCUAUCUUGCAAGAGAACGGAGAAUUAGAUGGAGAUCUCAACCAUAGAAUACGAGCUGGAUGGAUGAAGUGUAAGAGUGCAUCCGGCGUGUUGUGUGACCGUAGUAAGCCACUGAAGCUCAAGGGAAAAUUUUAUAGGACGGCAAUAAGGCCAGCGAUGUUGUAUGGCACAGAAUGUUGGGCGGUGAAACAUCAACACGUACACAAAAUGGGUGUAGCGGAGAUGAGGAUGCUUCGUGGGAUGUGUGGGCACACGAGAAAUGAUAAGAUUGAGAAUGAGGAUAUCCGAGGUAAAGUAGGAGUAGCCGAAAUUGAAGGAAAGAUGAGAGAAAAUCGGUUCCGGUGAUUUGGACAUGUGCAAAGAAGGCCGACUGACUCUCCGGUUCGAAGAUGUGACUACGGGACAGAGGUUCAGGGCCGAAGGGGUAGAGGAAGACCUAGGAAAACUUUGGAAGAGACUCUAAGAAAAGGCUUAGAGUACUUGGAUCUAACGGAGGACAUGACACAAAACCGAGCGCAAUGGCGUUCUAGGAUUCAUCUAGCCAACCCCACUUAGUGGGAAAAGGCUUUGUUGUUGUUGUUGUUGUUGUUGUAUGAAAGUACUAUUGGAAUUCACUUCUUUUUUGGAUUUAUGAUAUGGCUGCCAACUGAUGUCUUCCAGCUAGCUGCAGGGCUGGAAUGCCUCUCGGAAUAGGAAGCAAUUUGAUUGGGAAGGUAUAUAAGAAUGUGUGUGCGCUACUGCGCUUCAGCUUUAGUACCUAACUUUGCAUUUGCAUAUAAGACCACUAGAUAAGGGCGUGCACCAUCUGUUUAUUACCCUUUCUUUGUGGCAAAUAGAAUUCAAAAUUCAACCGCUGCUGUCAUACACAUGUAGUGCACAACACAUUUGCAUAUAGGACCAAAAUUAAGGGUUGUAUACUGCUAAAUUUGUUCCUCUUGCCUUUAUUUAAACAGGGUACAGUCGGGUAUUACGCUACAAUAUAUCGGCAUUGUCCCGAGAUGAAAAGUUAUGCCACUUUCACUGUGAACACAGUCAACAAAAAAAAGGUUAAAACUGAUAAACUCAGAUUCGAAUUUGUAAAAGCUGAUGGUCUACUUCUUACGUUAGCAUGUUCUGUUUUACCGAGUAAUCUUUAAUGGCGUACUUGUCUAAGUAUAAUGUUCUGCAUGGCUUCCUUUUUAGAAACUUCAACUGCAUUUUGUGAGACUGGUGGAGGCAUACGAAUACUUUUCCUGCCUUCCUAUUAGAGUAAUUUAUCUAACUAUUGAGGCCGUUGAUGGCCCGGCUUGUGAAAUGAAUGCUUAUGGAGCAAUAGUUGUGAAAUGGGGGAUUACUCGGGAAGUGAAAACCGUAUAUUUUGGUAGUGUUAAACCCAGUGGUCGUAUGUCAGCACUUUUCGACAUCAGAAAGAAAAUUGGUUACAGAGGUAACCAUCUGUCUGAAGCAGUCAAAAACACAUAUGGCUGUCUGAACUUUGGAAUUCAGUGAUAGAUGGGGUUCUUAAUUAUCGUGCAUUUCACUUGUCCCAGUCUAUAAUAUCUGGCCAGAAAGCAGCAGAAAGCUUGACGAGUUCCCUAGUCUCGCUGACGAUGACUAUAUGAGGUAAAUUUGAUGUUUUAUUAUGUUUGGGAUUUUAUUUCUGAAACUUUAUUUGCAGCAAAGAAACCCUAAAAACAGGGACUUGCGUGUCAAUUCCAUACCCUAAACUUGAGUGCAUUGAUGGAUAUAUUUCAUAACUUAAAUUGGUUACAGGCAAAGAAAAAGAAAAGGAGCCCGCCGCGUGGCUACUGCUUAGGGCAUACUCGGAAUGGAUGGAGUAUAUUUUGAACAAUACGGUUGUGUUUGGAUUUACUUGGUUUGGGGGGCACGUCCUACAUUCCUGUAAUCUGUUGGUGAAAGUCACACUUACUUUGUUAAGUUUACGUGCGGAAUUUUUUGUAUAAAUUUGCAGAAAUUAGUCAGGAAAUUUCCAUAUUAAUUGCAGGCUUAAUUAUCCUCAAGAGAAAUCGACGAAGAUGAACACGCCAUUAACAAGCAAUGAUUUCGCACAAUCUUUUGGAUGCCUGAUUGACACACACAACACUAGUCAGACAAUCACUAACACAAACUGAUGAGGUUUCUACCUCUACCACCUUAAUGGUUUUGAGUCCUUGGUGAUAAGCAAAGUUGUGUAUUACUUCGAUUUACGUGAUAUGUAUUUUGUCACUGAAAUUUAGAAUUCAGUAGAGGAUCCGACAUUAAACCCAAUAGAGCUUGUUUCCCGUUUCUUUUUCUUCGAAAUUCCCAUUCUGCUGCAUCUCCAUAGCUACCUCACAACCAAAAAUUUACUGAGUGGUAGACCCAAAAUGACCUUAGUUUCUUCCAGCUGAAACAGUUGUUGCAUGGGAACUUCAGGAUUCACAGUUUGAACUCUAAAUGUCCUUAGGAUUGGUAGCCAAGGAUCAUCUCACACUCGCACCAUCUCUCCAAUGCAAACCAGCCUUCAAAACUUGUCGUGCUUGUAUAAUACCCUUUCAACCCCACGACGAUUUCCUCCUAAACUAACAUUCAUAAAUUCCGUAUUCGGGAAGUAAUUAUCUUUUUACACUCGAGCCAGCAGUGAAUCAGGACAUUUAAUCAAAUCUCCAUCCAAGUUUAGCAACCAAGGCAAGAUUAAAAUGCAUGAUAUAUUGGAAUCCCAAUCCCUAUGGUUGAAAAGGUUGCCUACCACGGCCAAGGUUGAUAUUUACAGCUACGGGAUUUUGUUGUUAGAGAUUAUUUUCUGCAGGAAGCAUUCGAGGCAGCGGCAGAGGAUGAAGGUCAAAUGAUACGAGUUGAUUGGGUGUACGAUUGUUAAAAGCAGAAUAAGUUGCAUCAGCUAUGCAAGAAUAACGAUGAGGCAAUGCUUGACAUGAAGAUGGUGGAGAAGUAUGUGAUGAUAGCAAUUUGGUGCAUUCAGAAGGAUCCAUCGUUUAGACCUACCAUGAAGACAGUCACAUUGAUGCUCGAAGGAGCCGUUGAAGUCUCAGCUCCACCCGGUCCAUCUUCUUUCAUAAGUUCAAUACUUUUAAGUUCUUCCAAUUAUAAUCCAUUUCUUAUGUAUAUCAGAAGUUUCUGUAUUUUGAUUUCAAAUACUCUUCAGCUCUUAAUGUACUAUGUAGUAUUGAGUGUACGAUAAUUCUCUUAAAAUGUCUGAAUAAAUAGAGGAAUUAUCAAUGGUAUAAAACCUGGUCUGUCAUUUUCCAUGUCCGAAUAAAUAGAGGAAUUAUCAAUUGGAGGAACCUUAACGAUCUUCAUGGUAUCAGAGUAGGUUGGCCUACGUGUAAAGCCUAAGGGAUGCAUGUGCUCGACGGCACCUAAUUUGUGUUGUCCACAUUUAUGGCUUGAAAAUUCGUCAUACGUGAGGUGACGUGUGAGAUAGUGAAGGUAAAAGAGUCUCGUAUCGGUGAAAUGUAGUUUAAAAGAGGUUGACAUGAAUCGUUAGAUACAUGGGAUACUACUACUUCAGUUUCGCAGCUUAUCCGAGUUUUAUUUACCCGGUGCACCAUUCUCACAGUGCAGUACUAGUUUUAUAGGUUGACAGGAAUCGUUAGAUAUGUGGGGCUUCAAUUGUAGUUGUGUUAGCGUUGUGCAUCUAUAGUGACUAGGUUCCUUGCCUUUAUUUACCUUUCAUUUCAGUACUUCACUUUGCAAGUAGAGUGACUAGGUUCCUUGCCUAUAUUCAACUUUCUAGACAGGAAAGUAAAGAAAAUUUAUAAAUUUCCCAAGCAUGUUUUCACUUUUGUUGUUGUGUUGCUUUAAAGGAAAUUAACUUGGAUGGCAAAUGUAUGCUAUUGAAUGCGCAAAUAUGAUGGAAUAUCAACGGUCUUGUACAAUUAUUUUUUCAACAAAAAUUAUGAAUGACGAUCUGAAUUAUGAACUACAAAGUUCAAGAUUUUGAGUUUUCGAUGAUCAAAUAACAAAGAAACAACCACUUAAACUAUUGAACUAAAAAAUGACGACGGAUUAGGUGGAACUGAGACUUCAACAGUUCCUUCAAGCAUCUGUGUGACUUUCUUCAUCGUCGGUCUCAGCGACGGGUCCUCCUGAAUGCACCACAUUGCGAUCAUCACGUAGUUCUCCAUCAUCUUGACGUGUUCCAUCGCUUCGUCGUCCUUCUCCAAUAGCAAAGGCAGCUCCUUUUGCAUAUAGCAAUCAUAUGCGCAAUAAGCUAGUAUCAGCUGAUCUACAUCAUCCGUAUGUUCUUCAAAAUUCUUCCUGCAACAAAUAAUUUCUAGUAACAAAAUGCCAUAGCUGUAAACAUCCACCUUCACUGUGAUAGGCAUGUUUUUGAACCAUUCAGGGGCUACAUAACCUUUGGUUCCCCUGAUUUGAGUAGUAGUUCGAGUUUGGUCCGUUCCCAAAAGCUUGGCCAAUCCAAAGUCAGAAUUUUUUGCAGUGAAAGAGUCGUCUAGAAGAAUGUUUUGAGGCUUAAUGUCACAAUGUAUGAUUUGGCUUAAUGUUUUGAGCGCUAUUAAACAUUAUAUUUUAGUGUAUAUAAUUUCUUUUUAAAUAAGAAUUUCUUUCCCGUUGUUGAUGAGUCACCUAUUCUAUUACAUAGGUCAUCAAACACCUUUUUUUUUUUCAAAAAUUCAAAAUCAGCCUUUAACCCCAAGUAUUUCCCAAGGCCGCACUUUGCUUAUAUUCCCAGAAUAACAGAGAGCUUCUUUUAUUUAGCCACAUGUACAUUUAUGGAGAACUGACAUUUUUUUGUUGCUUUGUCACAAAUAUAUAUGAUAUAUUUCUAAUUUUCGACAAGUUCAUUAAUAAACUUUUAAGAAACAUUUUAUUCUGCUAAUAAUAACUUUAACUCAAUCGAUUCUUAACCAAAUUCGACCCAUAAUAUAUCAAAAUGAAGAUAAGAAAGUGUUGAACAAGAUUAUACCUAUUUGGAAACUCAAUGAUUGCUGGAGAUGGCCUGAAAGGUGAUUGGUCCACGGGAAAACUGGAAAACUCGCCAGAAACUGGGUAAACUUUAAACGUUCAUAACUUCUGCAAUACUCAACCAAAUCGAGUGAUUCAAAACGAAAAUCAUACUUCUCGACGAGAAGAAGAUAAUGGUAUCUUUCUUGACUGCUAAAUCGCCAUGGUUUGGCCAAAAAACUACUCGAAAGUGGCUUACUCGAAAAUGGUUAGCCACUUUCGAGCCGUUGUGCGACCAAACCACGGCGAGUUAGCCUGCGAAAAGGGUACCAUUCUCUUUGUCUCGUCAAAAAAUAAGGGUGCGUGACUUUGUGGCACCCCCAAGAAUUUGUACAUUUUUGUUAAUUUUUCUUUUAUUUCUCUUACCACUACAACAACUAGCAUAUUCAUGUUCUUCAAAGUAUAUUUUUCCGUGCAAAAUUUAUUAUAAUUCGUAUUUAAACACUUGUAAUCAACAAUUUAAAACCAAAGUUUAAUGACAUUUGAACCCUUUUUUUUUAAUUUUUCUUUUAUCUAAAUCUAAACUACAUAUUAAUAGAACCCUAUUUGUCAACCAAAAGAGGGUGAAACACUAUUUAGCAAAACAAACUUUUGCCACUUUUUGUUUAACCCUUACCUACAUGUGAUUUUUAAAGAUAUACACUAAAUAUACAUUUUAACAUCUCUAUAUUUUUCACUUAUUUUUUUAUCUUUUCGGGUUAAAUAUUAUACUAAAUAUACAUUUGUUGCUCAAUAAAUCGUAGAUCUGCUUCCAAAGACAUUAUAGAGGUUUCCUCAAUGCUCAUGGAAAAUAUCUUGAGAAAAUAAAAAAUUUGUAUUUUUUACAAAAAACGUGAAUCUCACGGUUUUCAGUAUGAUUUGCAAAUUCGUACAUAAAUCACCGUUCAAUCUAUUUAUUUUCACCUUCGCCUCAUUGUGAAGUUUUGAAAAUUAAGGUGAGACUUUCCGUUGAGAUUCUUGAGUGUAUUACCCCAUUUGACAAUAUUCUGGGCCUCACUACUAUGUUUUCCACUUUUUUUUUAGUUUUCGGCUUAAAUAUUCUACUAAAUAUACAUUUGUUGCUCAAUAAACUGUAAAAUUGCUUCCAAAUUCCUUAAAAAGUUAAACUUAAUGCUUAGGAAAAAUAUUUUGCAAAAAUAAAAAACUUGCAUUUUUUUUCAAAACACAUGGGUGUGAGGGCUUGACGCAUGCAAAACGAGGCAAACCAUGGCAUGCGAAACAAGACAGGCUCUGCUCAUAGAAAACGGGGUGUGUUUCUGGCAUGCAAAACGAGGUGAUCUUCGCGCACAAAAAACAACACUGGAUACGCCGCACAAAUCGAAGCUAGCCAUGUGCAUGGAAAACGAAGUUGGCUCUGUGCACGCCAAAACGACGCGGGCUCCAUAGACGCAAAAAUAGGCGUGCUUCUGGCACGUAAAACGAUGUGGACACCUCACAUGCAGAACAAGGCGAACCCAAGCACACAAGACGAAGGGGUUCUGGGCACGCAGAAUGAGGCAAACUCCCGAGUACUAAGAAAAUGAGUCGGACUCCACGCACGGAAUAAUAUAUUUUGAAGAACAUUAAUAUGAUAGUUUAUUGCAUAGUUAUAAAAGAAAUAAAAGAAAAAAGUAUAAAAAUGAUUCAACUUCUUGAUGGUAACUUUCUGGCACCUCAAGAAUGUAUACAUUUUUGUUAAUUUUUCUUUUAUUUCAGCUAAUUGCGUCUUUUUCUGCGGCUUGUGCGGCUGCACAUGAUUUCAUUUUGCGGGAUUACCUUGAUCCCAGAAUCAGGUGGGUUAGAUUUUAGUUCACCUCAGGAGCUGCGAUCUAGGAAACCUUCCACGUCAAAGAGUCAAAUUAAAACUUGUAAAAACAUACAAAGUACAUUUGCCUUUUCGACUUCAUAGUUGAUGACGAUUUCUUCCUUCAUUAUACUUUUUCAUCAACAGAAAAGAUAAAAGGGUAAGUGCAGGUGUACGUGUGAGAAAGAUUAACUUAAUAACACCCUAGUAAGUGUUUUACGAUAAUUAUAUACAUAUGAGUAUAAGUGUUGUUGAUGCACAAAAUCAGUGAGGACUUUGGUACAACAAAAAGUGUCAAGUUUGUGACAUUCGCUAGAUUGCUCCGGUUAUUAGUGUGGAUAAGUAUGUAAAUGAAUAGAGACAUGGAAGCAAACAGAAGAUGUACGUUCACCCAGAUUGGCUACGUCCACGGAGUAGAGGAGUUCUCAUUAAUUGUGAAGGGUUUACAUAAGUACAUAGGUUCAAGCUCUCCUUUAGUGAGUAUUAGUGAAUUAUUUAGUACAAAUGACAUUAGAAAAUAUUGUGGGACAAUGAUCUCGUUUUAUAGAAGAGAGUUUCUAGCUUUGUUCUGACAUUGACACGUGUCGUGUUGUGAUUGGCUUCUGAUGUUGACAUGUGUCGUGCUAUGAUUGGCUUCUGAUGUCGACACGCGUCGCGCUGUGAUUGGCCUCCUGGUUGGAGGGAAACUCUUCUGGGUCCUUGACGGUAUAACGUUAACCGAUACUUGGUAGUUUCAGGAUUGGUCAAGUAUGGUACAAACAGUGCUCCUCUAAGUUCCCGAGUGAGGGAAGCUCCUCGGUUGGGGACUUGUAAGAUCCAAGUCGUUGAGUAAUCACGAAACUUCUAAGUACCGAAGUGUGGUAUCGUUUUCACUUGCCUUAUCUGUCUCUUAAGUAGAUGUGGCAUCUUCUCUGGAAGUACUUUUCCUCCAUCCAGGGGUGGUAUCUUUAACCGGUGGAGAUGCACAAGGUAAUGUAUCAAUUUCACUUGAAGCUUACUUGUAGUUUCAAGCUUGGUCAAGCGCGAUACAAACCAUGUAGUAGGAGUCCCCCAAGUCGCCGAGCUAGGAGAUCUGCUGAAAAAGGUGACAGACAAGGUAAGCAAUCAGAGUUCAAAGCAAUCAGUCCCAGAUCAGAAGUUUGAUUUCGAGUUUCGGCUGAUUGUUCUCAUUCUCCCUAUCGUGCAGGCAACAAGAAGGAUAAAGAGAAGAAAAAGGAGAAGAGAUGAUAUAAGAUACUUUUGCUUUUGAAGAAGUAACUUUCCAUAGGCUUAUUUCUGGUUUCCUCCAGAGUAUAAGGCCGACUCAAGAAUUUGAUGGUCAAAACAAGUCCAUCAAAUCUAGAGUACGUUCGACCCUGAUGAUAUGCGAUACUUUUGCUAUUGACAAAGUAGUGGAUAUGGCAUGGCGAGGCUGUGCUAUUUGGCGACGGUGUCAGCGAAAGGUUGUUGAAGUUUCUCGAGCUAUUCGGAUAGGGCAACGAUGUCGAGCCUGGAUUUGACUUAGACUCCUCCAUCUGGAUUAUGUGGUUCUGCAGGGAGGGCGUCGUGCUAUAGUGAUCUGUUCCAGCUCAUCGUUGAACCUUUUGCUUCAAUCUUUUGCAUCGCAGAAGCGGUGCGCAACCUUUGCCUUUGAAUGGUCCUUCAGAGUACUACUUCUCAGCGACUCAUCCAUGCUUAGCAGCUUCAGUGUAAAGAGCCAAUAUUGUAUCAACUGUUCUGAGGUAUUUGCCGAAGUGAUUCGUGACCUUGACAACAGUUGAGGAUGAGUACUCGAGAGCAAUGUUAGGCAAGCAACCAUGCAAAGAUUACGGGCAAUCAGUUCCAAAUCAGAAGUUUGAUUUCAGGUUCCGACUAAUUGCGUUCUUUCUCCUUGUCCUACAGGUAAGAGCAAGGGCAAAGGAAAAGACAGGGAAAAAGCAUGAUAUGGGAUACUCUUACUUUUAACCCUGAUGAUAUGAGAUACUCUUGCUCUGGUGUGGCUUGUCUGCAGAGGUAUUAUCGGGGGGAAAAUAAGCUGAGUAUUUUGAGAGACUGCUGAAAUUGCCCUCUCGGAUGUGAAGAAAAGUUGAGUAUUUUUUUUUAUUUGCAGGUCUGCCUGGCUAUGGAGGAUGGAGGUCGACAUAUACAGAAAUUGUCCCAACAGCAAGUAGUAACGUUGUUCCUUUACCCUUCUCGGUAGCAAUGUAGUGGGAGCUGCAAAAUUCACGUGUUUUAACUUUGUCAGAGCACUUUGAAAAAGUGGUCUAUGGUAUCUGGAAAGCUGAUAUUGCGUGUGAAGAUUGCGGACAAAUUUUAUCCAGGGAAAUCUGGCUCUCAAAGUUCGGAGAGUGGUGCCUCUUCGGUUUUCGAGAAAGAAGAUAUGUUAAAGAUCUGGCUUUCGAAAUUCGGAGAGUGUUGCCUCUUCGAUUUUUGAACAAGCAAUCUUAUUUGACACACAUAGGGACUUUCCAGUUAUUAAGCAGUGGUGUUGUUCCUUUACCCUUGUGGGUAAUAGUAAGGUAGCUGGACCUUCAAAUUUUAUGUGUCUAAACUUUGUCAGAGAUCUUUGGCAAAGUUAUCUGGGGUACCCGAGAAGUUGAUGUUGUGUGUCGAGAUUGUCAACAGAUUUUACUCAAGAAAAUCCACUUCUCGAAAUCUGGAGAGUGGUGUCUCUUCGAUUUUUGAACAAACGGCCUUGUUGCCCUUUCUUUUAUAGGGGCACCAAUUGUGUGCAAGAAGUACGUUCAGAGAGUUAUUGCUUGUAGGAAUUUUCCCCUUAUUUUUGUACUUCAGAGAUUUAUUGGACCUCAUUUCUCCUUCAUCGUUUCUGAAAAUGUCUGACCCAUCCGACCGUCAUUUUGACUUGAACUUUGGUGAAGAGGCAGCCAUACCUCCUCAAGACAACAUAUGGCGCCCAUCCUUCUUAUCCCAUACUCCUCUUACUGUUGGGGACUCUAUGAUGAAGAAUGAUAUGACCGCUGCGGUGGUGGCCAGGAACCUUCUCACUCCCAAAGACAACAGACUACUUUCCAAACUGUCUGAUGAGUUGGUUGUUAAGGAUUCUCUAGCUCUCAGUGUUUAGUGUGCAAGUUUUGUGUCUAAUAUGGCCCAACGUCUAUUUGCUCGAACCCGCAAAGUUGAAUCAUUGGCGACUGAAGUGAUAAGUCUCAAACAGGAUAUUAGAGGGCUCAAGCAUGAGAAUAAACAGUUGCACAGGCUCGCACAUGACUAUGCUACAAACAUGAAGAGGAAGCUCGACCAGCUGCAGGAAUCUGAUGGUCAGCUUUUACUUGAUCAUCAGAGGUUAGCGAGUUUGUUCCAAAUGCAUUUAUUGCCUUCGUCUUUUAGGCCUGUACUGCGUAAUGAAGCUCUAAAUGAUCAACCUUCAGUGCCUCCUCCUUCUGGGGUUCUACCCCGUACUGAGACUCCGAAUGAUCACCCUCUGGUGCCUCCUAUUUUUGGGGCUCUGCCGACUGCUGAGACUUCUCCUGAGCAACCUUUGUGAAGGCUCCAUCUUGUUUGUUUAUUUUGAUUCAUGUAAAUGUACAUAUUUGUAACUUAUCGAAGAUAUCAAUAAAUAAGAAUUGCUUCAUUUCAACGUAUUGUGUUAAAUACACCAAAGCUUUCUUCACUAAGUUCUUUGAAUUUUUUCUUUUGUUGAAACUUGUAUGUUGAAGUUUUGUGAGUGAAGCAUGUAGGUUGAGGUAGUGUUCCCUUAAUUUCCCGAGUGAGGAAAACUUCUCAGUUGGAGACUUGAAAAAUCCGAGUCACUGAGUAGUCGUGAACCUUCCAAGUACCGAGGUGUAGUAGCAUAUGGUAGGAGUCCCCCAAGUCUCCGGUCGAGGGAGUUGACGAAGGAGGUGUCUUGCUAGUAGCCAAAUUUCCAAAGUAACAAAACUUCACCGUUUUCCUUUCUAAGUGGUAGCCCAAAACUCCUCAUUCAUAUAUAUUUGUUAUGAAAGUUGUUAGGCCCAAAGAAGAUGAGGCCUAGGCCCUUUUUUUCUUUUUUUUUAAUUUUCAAUUUUUUUUUUUUGAAUUUUCAAAUUUUCAAAUUUUUUAAUUUUCAAAUUUCCGAAAAAAAAAUUAUAUAUAUAUAUUUUAAAGCUUUGUAGGUGAAGCUUUGGUGUUGAAGCUUUGUAGGUGAAGCUUUGAGGUUGAAGCUUUGUUGGGUACCAUGAAUUGAUUUUGCUUCACACUAUCUUGAUCAAGAGUGUGUGAAGCUUUUGGCAUUUGUAGUUGAAGCUUUGGUGUUGAAGCUUUGUAGGUGAAGCUUUUGUGUUGAAGCUUUGUAGGUGAAGCUUUGGAGUUGAAGCUUUUGUAGGUGAAGCUUUGAAGUUGAAGCUUUGUGGGUGAAGAUUUGGAGUUGAAGCUUGUGUAGGUGAAGCUUUGGAGUUGAAGCUUUGUAGGUGAAGCUUUUGUGUUGAAGCUUUGUAGGUGAAGCUUUUGUGUUGAAGCUUUGUAGGUGAAGCUUUGGAGUUGAAGCUUUUGUAGGUGAAGCUUUGGAGGUGAAGCUUUGUAGGUGAAGCUUUUGUGUUGAAGCUUUGUAGGUGAAGCUUUUGUGUUGAAGCUUUGUAGGUGAAGCUUUGGAGUUGAAGCUUUUGUAGGUGAAGCUUUGGAGUUAAAUCUUUUUAAUGUGAAGCUUUGGAGUUGAAGCUUUUCUAGGUGAAGAUUUGGAGUUGUAGCUUUGUGGGUGAAGCUUUGGAGUUGAAGCUUUUGUAGGUGAAGCUUUGGAGUUGAAGCUUUGUAGGUGAAGCUUUUGUGUUGAAGCUUUGUAGGUGAAGCUUUGGAGUUGAAGCUUUGGAGUUGAAGCUUUUGUAGGUGAAGCUUUGUAGGUAAAGCUUUUGUGUUGAAGCUUUGUAGGUGAAGCUUUUGUGUUGAAGCUUUGUAGGUGAAGCUUUGGAGUUGAAGCUUUUGUAGGUGAAGCUUUGGAGUUGAAGCUUUUGAAGGUGAAGCUUUGGAGUUGAAGCUUUUGUAGGUGAAGAUUUGGAGUUGUAGCUUUGUGGGUGAAGCUUUGGAGUUGAAGCUUUUGUAGGUGAAGCUUUGGAGUUGAAGCUUUGUAGGUGAAGCUUUGUGUUGAAGCUUUGUAGGUGAAGCGUUGGAGUUGAAACUUUGGAGUUGAAGCUUUUGUAGGUGAAGCUUUGUAGGUGAAGCUUUGUAGGUAAAGCUUUUGUGUUGAAGCUUUGUAGGUGAAGCUUUGGAGUUGAAGCUUUAUAGGUGAAGCUUUGGAGUUGAAGUUUUGUAGGUGAAGCUUUGGAGUUGAAGCUUUGUAGGUGAAGCUUUGGAGUUGAAGUUUUGUAGGUGAAGCUUUGGUGUUGAAGUUUUGUAGGUGAAGCUUUGGAGUUGAAGCUUUGUAAGUGAAGCUUUGGAGUUGAAGCUUUGUUGGUGAAGUUUUGGUGUUAAAGCUUUGUAGGUGAAGCUUUAGUGUUGAAGCUUUGUAGGUGAAACUUUUGUUGGCACCAUAAAUUGAUUUUGCUUCAAACUAUCUUGAUCAAGAGUGUGUGAAGCUUUUGAGGAUUGUAGUUGCCCUCCAUUGAUGAAGCUUUCUUGACACCAUAAAUUAAUUUUGCUUCACACUAUCUUGAUUAAGAGUGUGUGAAGCUUUUGAGAUUUGUAGUUGUCCUCCAUUGAUGAAGCUUUGUUGGCACUAUAAAUUGAUUUUGCUUCACAUUAUCUUGAUCAAGACUGUGUGAAGCUUUUGAGAUUUGUAGUUGCUCUCCAUUGAUGAAGCUUUGUCUACACCAUAAAUUGAUUUUGCUUCACACUAUCUUGAUCAAGAGUGUGUGAAGCUUUUGAGAAUUGUGGUUGUCCUCCACUGAUGAAGCUUUUGAUUUCAACCAUAAAUUGGUUUUACUUCACACUAUCUUGAUCAAGAGUGUGUUUGUUUUUUUUUUGGGAAAACUGGAAAUUUGAAAAUGUAGGAGAGACAACAAAUACAAGUCACACCUUGUAGUAGUCGAAGGUUUGGAUGAACCAUAUAAAUUGAAUUUGCUUCGAGCAGUCUUGAUAAAGAAUGUGUGAAGCUUUUUACGAGUUGUAGUGUUUGCAUUGUUACAAAGGAGAAAUGUCUGAAGCAGAUGCAAGAGGGCUGAAUAGCUUGAUCUUCGUAUACCAUGCACUGAAGUUGUUGUUGGUUUGCAAUAAGACUUUGUUGGUGGCUAUAACUUUUGUUGGGCAUAAGUGUUCCCCUAGUUGAGUUGUAAAGCUUGAGGGUUUUUGAUUAUUUGUGAAUGCUAGGAGUUCACAUGUACAAGUUGUACCACUCGUCUUCUAGUUGGUGGAAUGAAUGGUGAUUUUCUUUCAUCACCUGGUUGGUGGUACGAAUGUGAGUUCCUUCAUCACAUUUCAUCACCUGGUUUGUGGCAUGAAGAUCAAUUCCUUCUUCACCUAGUUGGUGAUAAGAGUGGCAAGUUGCCAAAUAAUAUUAGAGUAGGGGUUGUACAUUUCAUCACCUGGUUGGUGGCACAAAAGUGAGUUCCUUCUUCACCUGGUUGGUGAUAAGAGUGGCAAGUUGCCAAAUAAUAUUAUAGUACGGGUUAUACAUUUCAUCACCUAGUUGGUAGCACAAAGGUGAAUUCCUUCUUCACUUGGUUGGUGAUAAGAGUGGCAAGUUGCCAAAUAAUAUUAGAGUACGGGUUGUACAUUUCAUCACCUGGUUGGUGGCACGAAAGUAAGUUCCUUCAUCACCUAGUUGGUGAGAAUAAGGGCAAGGUGCCGAGACACAUUGUAGCAAAUGUCGAAUGACACAAAGUAUGUUGAAUCCUUUUGAAGCACAGUUGGGUUAUGUAUGAAUGUGUUGGAAUAUAUGAUUGAACGAAUAUACUGUGAAGCUGUUCUUUUAUUUGUAUAGUCUUGUUGACAUAUACUUAGACUUUGUUUCAUGUUGGAAGCAUUCAUGUUGAAGCUUUGAACCCGAGUGUUUCAUUGCUAGGAAUGUAAGAAGAUUGGGACCGAGUUGUCUAAAUCACCUCUUUAUUGAAUUCAUGUCAAAUGGUCUUCAUUACAUAGGAUGCCGAACGACUGAAGCUUAACACUUGUACAAUGUGAGUUUACUUGUAAUAGUACUUCAAGUGAUCAGCGUUCCAUGGAUGGCCAAGGGUCUUGCCAUUAGAGCUUCUAAACUUGUAGGAGCCAAGGAGACUGAUGCCAACAACUUCAAACAGUCCAUCCUAGUUUGGACUAAGUGUUCCUUCACUCAGGACUCUGUCGCAGAGUAAUCUUUUCUUCAAUACCCAGUCCCCUACUUGGAAAGAAUAAGGUUUAACCCUUGAGUCAUAGUAGUUGGAGAUGCGCUGCUUGUAGGCGACAUUCCUCAAGUGAGCCUGGAUGUCUUUUGAAGUUACCGGUUCCUUCAUGUCGAUGAUUGUUUGGAUCUUCUCAGGAUUAGCUUCAAUGCCUCGUUGGCUAAUCAUGAAGCCUAAGAAUUUGCCGAAACCUACGUCAAAGACACAUUUGUUGAGGUACAACCUCAUUCGAUACCUCUUCAGAAUGGUGAAAGUUUUAGAUAGGUUGGUGAUGUCUUGGUCAGCAUGUUUGCUCUUGACUAGCAUAUCAUCAACGUAAACUUCCAUGCUCUUCCCAAUCUAUUUAGCGAACAUUGAAUUGACUAGUCUCUGAUAAGUUACCCCUGCAUUCUUUAGGCCGAAUGGUAUGACUUUAUAGCAAUAUAGUCCCCUAUCAGUAGUGAAGGCUGUGUGUUCUCGGUCCGGAGGGUUCAUGAGGAUUUGGUUGUAUCCUGAGUUAGCAUCCAUGAAGCUCAGGAGUUCACACCCUGCUAUAGAGUCUAUAAGUCUGUCAAUGAGAGGAAGAAGAAAGCUAUCAUUCAGGCAUCCGUUGUUUAGGUCGGUGUAGUCGACACACAUUCUCCACAAGACCUUUUGGAGCAUGAGACUUUCAUUGGUCGGAUUCUUCUUAACAAGAACAACAUUUGCUACCCACGUUGGAUAAUUGACUUCGCGGACGAAGCCUAUGCCUUUGAGUUUUUCAACUUCUGCCUUCAUUGCCUCAUACCGUUCAGCGUCAUAAGAUCUUCGCUUCUGUCUCACUGCUUGGUCUUUGGGUCAAUACUUAAGCGAUGACAGAUGAUAUCGGGAGAGAUGUUUGGCAUGUCCUCGUAUGACCAGGCGAAGACCUCAGUGUUCUUUUGCAAAAAAAAAGAUCAAUGCCAACCGAAUGGGUGGUGACAAGGUGGUGCCAAUCUUCACCAUGCGAUCUGGAUAAUUUUUUGAGAUAGAAACCUUCUCCAGCUCUUCAGCGGGUUGUGCUUGCUGGGUGAAAGAAUCAUCUCGAGGAUCGUCGGGUUAACUGUUGCCACCGUGAAGAUCCAAGUUGGCUUCAUUCGGGCUGGUAUUUAUGACUUGGUCAUGUAUAGAAAAGGUUUCCUUGGGCACAUGUAGGUGUUGUUGCUUGACCGAAUUGUUGUAACAUGAUCAUGCACUAAGUUGAUCUCCUCUGAUGUAACCAUUGCCAUAAGGGGUUGGAAAUUUCAUCAACAACAUAUGUGUGGAUACCAUGGCCUUGAGAUCAUUGAUGCAUGUGCGUCCAAAGAUGACAUUGUAUGCCGUUGGGCAAUCAACCACCAGGAAGUUAGUGGUAAUGGUAGCUGUGUAAGGGCCUGUACCAAUGGUGAAAGGUAAGUGUAUGCUCCCUAAAGGUUGCACGAUAUCACCGGAAAAGCUUAUCAAAGAAGAAAUCGAGCGAUCGAGCAAGUGUUCAGCUACAUUAAGUGCCUUGAAAGCUUCAGCAAACAUGAUAUUGACCGAAGCCCCUGUGUCUACCGGGAUUCGUCGUACUUCAAAGUUGGCUAUGUGCGCCUCCACGAUCAGUGGGUCGUUGUAAGGGUAGAUGAUACCUCUUUCUUCCUCAGGGUAGAAACAUAUUGGAUCCCAGUUAGGCUUUUGAUACUUGCCUCUCAUGAUGUCUUCCAAGUGAAACACUUGGUAGCCAGACCUUAAAGCUUGUUCGCUAUUUUUCAUGGCCCUAUUGGAAGAUUCAGAUAUGGGUGUGCCGCCGCUUAUGGAAUAAAUCACAUUCACUUAGCAUUGGUUACGAUUAUCCCUUGAAGGGUGAAGAAGGAAUUGAUCAAUUUUUCCUUCAUGUGCCAAAGCUUCAAUAUGAUCACGAAGGGUGAUACACUUCUCGCCGUCAUGGCCGUUAUACUCGUGGUAGCAGUAAAACGUGCCCGUGUUCUUCAUGGGCUUGUAACCCGACUACUUCGGCAUUGGCUUCAGUAUCAGGUGUGCUAUGCUGGGGUAAAUGGCCACGCAUGUGGCGUUCAAAUGUGUGUAUGUCUCAUACCUCGGGGUAGGGCCUGUCCUGACACGUGCUUGGCCCACUGUGUUGACUGCCUGAGGGCGGGCAUUAUCGUGGCGAUACCAUUGGUUAUUGCGAUAGUGUCCCUUACUCCUUUUACUAAAAUGAGACUUGUGAGGAUGGAAAACUUUCCUUUUGCCCUGAGAUUGAUAUGUCUGUUGACUUAGUGAAGUAUUAAGUAAAGUAGGGGGAGACACCGCUGCCGUUUGGAAGGUUGAUGUCUUCUCAUUUGGUUGGAUCUGGCUUCCACUCUCUACUUGCUGAUAAGGGGUGGCAGUGGAGGGUUUCCCUUGAUAUGUCCUUGCCUCGGCAGAGGCAUGGUUGUAAGCAUGUACCAUCACCUCAGAGUAAGUCUUCCAAGUGUUGGCAUUGAUCAUGUACUUGAAGAAACAAUCACGUAGGUGUGCCGUGAAGGCCUUGAGGGCGGUCUUGUCAUCUGCCUCAGCGGAGUGAGAGUACUCAUGGCUGAAGCGACCGGCAUACUCUCGUAGUGACUCGUCCAACUUUUGGCGAUAAGUGUACAAGUCAUCCGCAGAGUGUAAGCGAUCGGUCUGGAAAAUGUGUUGAAAAACAAACAGUUUCCUCAAUUCCUUAAAUGAGUCUACCGUCUUAGGUGGAAGACGGCAAUACCAGUUUAGAGCUCUGCCAGAGAGGGUGUAGGGGAAGAGAAGACAUUGCUCUUCGUCGUUGUGCAUCCGGUAUGCCAUGGUGGACUCAAAGAGGUUAAGGUGUUCAAUCGGGUCCUCAUUUCCAGUAUAGAGUUGCAAACCAAGCUUUUGCUUUGUCUUUGCUUGGAGGGGGUGUCGAGGAUCCUCCUUAUAAGAGGGCCAGGCCUAGGUUGGUUCCAAUCAGGUAUCUCAGCUUGUCGUUCGGCCUUUAACUUGUUUACUUCCUUAAGGAGCUGUAAGACAAGAGGGUCCUGAGUAGAGUCAUGUACCACUGGAGCUUUCUUUCGUAAAUCUCCAUCUCCUCUUGGAAGUAGGAAGGUUUGAUCAAGAGCAUGUGAUUUUUCUCCGGACUCGCCGUACUGACUUCCAAGGUAUGUCUGUUGGAACAUCUUUGAGUCCCUUAUACCUUCGUGUUUCUCUAGGACUUGUUGCCUCUUCCCCAAAUUGGUAACCGGCCUGGGACAUGGGAGGUGACCGAGUCUUUUAGAGACCCUUAGGUCAUUGAUCUUCGAGCUUACAUGGAUGAGAUUGUCUCGAUGUUGCUAUAGGAAGUCUCGACAGUCGCGAAAGACGGCUUUCGAUCAUUCCACUCCUUCUGUAAGGAGGUGUCUUCCUUCACUCCUCCUGCUUCAGGUUGAAGCAGCUGGGUUGAUAAAAGUCUCAUGUUGGUCGCCAUUUCGAUGAGUAGCUUGCUCCUCAACAAGAAUACCCAUGUUGAGGGCAAAUGAUCCUCCGUGUUGGGGGGCACCCAAUUGAUGGUUGACUUCCACAAGGGUGAUGAGCUCCUGUGUUUUAGUAUAUCUAGCCUCGUGGAGCAUCUCGAAGACCUUCUCAUACUAUUAUUGGAUGAUCUCAUUCUUCAUCGUUAUCUUGUUGUUCUGAGCCUCCAGCUCAUCGACUUUAGCCUGAAAAGCAAACUUCUUUUGUUCCUUCUUUCGUUGCUUUGCACCAGGUGCGAGAGGGGUGUUGUUCUGCGUGUUAUGGCUUCCUUCGCUCCCCAUGUUGGAGAGAGAUGCUUGGUCAAAAGAGAGUGUACGAAUGGUGGAAACCAGCUUGACAAAGCUGAAAAGAGUAGGAAUAAGUGCGAUUCCCACAGAGGAUGCCAAAUGUUGAUGCACAAAAUCAAUGAGGACUUUGGUAUAACAGAAAGUGUCAAGUUUGUGACCUUCGCUAGAUUGUUCCGGUCACUAGUGUGGAUAAGUAUGUAAAUGGAUAGAGACAUGGAAGCAAACAUAAGAUGUAUGUGGUUCACCCAGAUUGGCUACGUCCACGAAGUAGAUGAGUUCUCAUUAAUUGUGAAGGGUUUACACAAGUACAUAGGUUCAAGCUCUCCUUUAGUGAGUACUAGUGAAUGAUUUAGUACAAAUGAUAUUAGGAAAUAUUGUGGAGAAUGAUCUUCUUUUAUAGAAGAUAGUUUCUAGCUUUGUUCUGACAUUGACACGUGUCGUGUUGUGAUUGGCUUUUGAUGUUGACACGUGUCGCGCUAUGAUUGGCUUCUGAUGUCGACACGUAUCGCGCUGUGAUUGGCCUCCUGGUUGGAGGGAAACUCUUAUGGGUCCUUGACGGUAUAACGUUGACCGAUGCUCGGUAGUUUCGGGAUUGGUCAAGUAUGGUACAAACAAGUGUUAUUUUAUUUUAUAGAAAAUCGAAGACAUAAGUGUAAAACAAAAAAACAUUCUGAAGAAAAUUAUAGGGGUCGGUCCUGGGCCAAGUCCAAAUGAUGAGCCUAAAUAAAACUAUACCGAAUAUAAUGAUGGGCCUGAUCCAAAAUAUAACUAGACCGGCCGUGAUCAAAACCUAAAUGAAAAGGAAAACAAAAUACUCCCUGGAAUAAAGAUGUAGAAGGAAGUCCCACUUAAGGGCCUAUGGCCAUGGAAUAUAUGUAAACUUGGUGUUGCAAUAGGAUGGUUUACUCAAAUAUAAGUCCCAGUUUACCUCUAGCAAGGUCGUCUGUAUUCAUUUUGAUCUAAGGACAUAGAAAUGGAUGCUAAUGAACAAUAACUAUAACAUGAGUUUAUCUCAAGAUAGACUAAAAGUUGCUUAUCCAAAACACCACGAACACGACUAGGAGUGAAAACUUCAACUGUCCAUUCCAGACCAAAGUAGAACGAAAAAUGCGCAAAAUAAAAAGGGCUUACUUUUAAACUUCACUUUUAUUACUCUAGGUGAUUUUGACAUGACCGGGAGAUUCAUAUUUUUCUACCCAAUUUCGCAUUUCUACUUUGUCUUUCAACGUGACUACAAAGGGGCCCACCCUUAUCAUGAUCCCUUCAUCAUAGUGCACGUAACUAAGUAAGUCUAGCAUGAUAGCGUGAGUUUAAACUCCGUCGGUGACUAAUUUAAUAUCUAAUCUAACAAAAUAUAUCGUUUGACAAAAAAAAAAAAAAAAAAAAAGCCUAGCAAGAGCCUUUUUGCUCCAUAACCAUGGUGUAUGCUUACCAUACACCAUAUUAAUUGACACAGGUCCUUUAACCUAACUCUAGUUAAUUUUCACAAAAUGUUACUUUUUCAAUUUUGAAAAAAAAAAAAACCAAGAUUAAGUAAAAGGACACGCGUCAAUUGAUUAUGUGUAGUAUGAGCAUACAUCAUAGUUCUCUCAGAGCAUAUUCAAAUGAGAUGUCAAAAUCCUAGUUGGAAUGCCACUAUGCAUAUUUGACAUCAAAAGUCUCUCCAACCGAAGUGUUAUUUGUUGAUUGGAUUUGAAAGUUUUGUGAUUUGAAGUCAAAUUUGACAUCAAUGUUAAAUUUAUUUUUAAUUCAUUUUAAUAGUGGGCCUCUUAUUCCAUUAAUAUUCCAACCAAUAAAAAUGUUGUUUCAACAUUUUUUUAAUAGUUAAAACCAUUUAAAGUUCUACUUAAAUAAUAAAAUAAAUUUGACAAUUCAAUUGAAGAAGUACAAAAUUUAACAUAAGACUUUAAAUUACCACAUCAGCCAUCAAUUGUAAUUUGAAUCUUAAAUUCGACAUUUCAUUUGCAAAUGCUUUCAGAUAUCUUAUUGAACUAGGUGGCUAAUUGGGAGCCAGAUGGCACGUAACUACCCAAGUCAACUGUGCUGAGUCCUCUCACAAACGACUUGAAAAAGGUUCAAUCAUGGCAGAUAUUACGGUUGGAGAUUUGCCAUUUUGAGUCAUGGAUGCUGUCUUUUUAAAUCUUAAUACGCAUGCAGGCCAAUUACUUGGAAGCUGCCUUCUUUGAAUGCUUCAAAGAGAUGAGACAUCAAUCCUGCUCUUGACUAGUUCUAAAUUCAAGUCUUUCCUCCCGUCCCUGGCCUACAAUAAGCAUUCUUUUCUACCCCUCUUUUUGGGUUGAAGCCCUAAGUUGUCCAAUCUUGACUUAGAAGCUCUAUACAACUACUAUUUUUGUAAAAUUUAGUGUGAGAAUGUGAGGACAAAAUUCCUCGGUGAGGGACUAAGUCAUGCAAGAGUUUAUAAGGAGUUGGACCUCUUCUCAUAUUGUUUAUUGGUUUUAUGAUGGAAUCCAAUUUUUUCAUAGUAUCAUAGCAGGUUAGCUCGCUUACGUAUGAAGCCCAACGACACACGUGUUCCACGUCACGUAAUUUGUGUUAUCCACAUGUUAGAUUUGAAAAUUUAUCACACAUAUGUGUGAAUAUGAGGACAAAAUCUUACAUCGGUGAAGGAUCAAACUAUGCAAUUGCUUAUAACGAGUUAAGCUAUUUUUCAUAUUACUAAUUGAUUUAUGGUAAAACUCAAAUUCCUUCAUUUAGAAAUGACAGCUUAUAGUCAUACCCAACAAUUAUCUCUGCCCGCCCAGCACUUCCAUGAAAAAGAACCUUUCAAUAUCGUAGAUCCUUUGAAUUAGACCGAAAAAAAAAAAAAAAAAUUUAAUGAGAAGUUUUCGGUACUGUUUACUUUAACGAAAAACCACAUUUUUACACUAAAAAUUAAAUUUUGGUAUUAUUCACUUUACCUUUUAUUUUGUCUUAAAAUUCGAAAUUUUCAAUUUUUUUUAUUAGUUUUCUUAAAAAAGAAACCACAAUUCGAUGCACCAUUCCCACAGUGUCGUGGGCUGUGGCCUUUCAAUAAAAUAUAUAAACAAAGUACCUAAUAAACAAUGCCCAUAGGCUCACACAGUGAAGUACUGAAAUGACAGGUAAAUAACGGCAAGGAACCUAGUCACUCUAGAUGCUCAACCCUAACACAACUACACUUGGGAAAAUUUUUAGUUGUGAUGGAAAUACGGAUGGUACAUCACGUGUUUUCAUGCAAGUGAUGGAAAAUUUUAAUUUUUAAGUUAUUAACCUUUUAACACACAUAACCCACCAUUUAUAUAGAGACACGUGAUGUACCAUUUCGUGUGACGGGAACACUGAAAAAUCUCUCCUACACUUGAAGUCCCACGUAGCUAAUGAUACCUGAAACCAGUAAAACCGGUACUAAACCGUGGGAAUAGUGCACCAGGCCAAUAAAACUCGGAUAAACUUAAAGGGUGUGUUUGUUGCACCGGAUUGUCUCGGACUGGACUAGCUGCAGGGACUAAGCUGGACUGGCUUAGACUAGACUAAACAGGACUAACUUAGUGAAGCGUUUAGUGCAGUGUCGGACUAAAAAGCAGGAUAAAGAAAAAAAAUAACCGAUGAUGUAUAACAAAAUAUUAAUGUUAUUUGCUUCAAUCCAACAAAAAGUAGCAGAUCCACAAUAAAAAAAAAUCGAGGAACAAUUCAAUAAAUAAAUGUUAAUGUUAUUUGCUUCAAUCCAACAAAUAAAUGGAGGAACAAAGCUAAACAUAAGCAAUUCUUGGAAACGAAAUUGAGUAAACAAAGAAACAAUUCCAGAAAAUAUAACAGUUGACUCUGAGCCACUUAUCCUUUACAUUCUCAAUUCUUGUAAUUAAAUUUCAACUACUCACUAUAGACUAAAACUAAGAUACAACAACAAAGCCUUUCCCACUAAGUGGGGUCGGCUAUAUGAAUCCUAGAACGCCAUUGCGCUCGGUUUUGUGUCAUGUCCUCCGUUAGAUCCAAGUACUCUAAGUCUUUUCUUAGAGUCUCUUCCAAAGUUUUCCUAGGUCUUCCUCUACCCCUUCGGCCCUGAACCUCUGUCCCGUAGUCACAUCUUCGAACCGGAGCGUCAGUCGGCCUUCUUUGCACAUGUCCAAAUCACCAGAGCCGAUUUUCUCUCAUCUUUCCUACAAUUUCGGCUACUCCUACUUUACCUCGGAUAUCCUCAUUCCCAAUCUUAUCCUUUCUCGUGUGCCCACACAUCCCACGAAGCAUCCUCAUCUCCGCUACACCCAUUUUGUGUACGUGUUGAUGCUUCACCACCCAACAUUCUCUGCCAUACAACAUCGCUGGCCUUAUUGCCGUCCUAUAAAAUUUUCCCUUGAGCUUCAGUGGCCUACGACGGUCACACAACACGCCGGAUGCACUCUUUCCAUCCAGCUCGUAUUCUAUGGUUGAGAUCUCCAUCUAAUUCUCCGUUCUCUUGCAAGAUAGAUCCUAGGUAACGAAAACGGUCGCUUUUUGUGAUCUUCGCUAGAUUGCUCCGGUCAUUAGUGUGGAUAAGUAUAUAAAUGGAUAGAGAUAGGAAAGCAAACACAAGAUGUACGUGGUUCACCCAGAUUGGCUACGUCCACGGAAUAGAAGAGUUCUCAUUAAUUGUGAAGGGUUUACACAAGUACAUAGGUUCAAGCUCUCCUUUAGUGAGUACGAGUGAAUGAUUUAGUACAAAUGACAUUAGGAAAUAUUGUGGGAGAAUGAUCUCGUAAUCACGAAACUUCUAAGUAUCGGAGUGUGGUGUCGUCUUGACUUGCCUUAUCUGUCUCAUAGGUAGAUGUGGCAUCUUCUCUGGAAGUAACUCUUCCUCCAUCCAGGGGUGGUAUCUUUAACUGGUGGAGAUGCACAAGGUAAUGUAUCAAUUUCACUUGAAGCUUACUUGUAGUUUCAGGCUUGGUCAAGCGCGAUACAAACCAUGUAGUAGGAGUCCCCCAAGUCGCCGAGCUAGGGGGUCUGCUGAAAGAGGUGACAGACAAGGUAAGCAAUCGGAGCUCCGACUGAUUGUUCACCUUCUCCCCAUCUUGCAGCAGCAUGAAGGAUAAAGAGAAGAAAAAUGAGAAGAGAUGAUAUGAGAUACUUUUGCUUUUGAAGAAGUAACUUUCCACAGGCUUAUUCUUGAACUGAGCUGGAGGGUUUUCUGGUUUCCUCCAGAGUAUAAGGCCGACUGAAGAAUUUGAGGGUCAAAACAAGUCCAUCAAAUCUAGAGUACGUUCCACCCUGCUGAUAUGGGAUACUUUUGCUUUUGACAGAGUAAUGGAUGUAUCGGCACGUGUGCUGUUACGCUUGUCUCCACAUGCUUCCUUGUAUCCUUCGCACUUGCCCUAUCUGUUCCUCAAGCAGAUGCGGAAUCUUCCCUGGAGACAUAAGAUGUUGAAGAUGAGUACUCGAGAGCAAUGCCAGGUAAGUAAUCAGGUAAGGGGUUCCAGGCAGUCAGUUCCUGGCUGGAAGCUUGAUUCCAAGUGCUGACUGAUUGCUCUCUUUCUCCUUGUCUUGCAGGUAAAAACAAGGCCAAAAGAAAAAACAGGGAAAAAGCAUGAUAUGGGAUACUCUUGCUUUUAACCCUGAUGAUAUGAGAUAUUCUUGCUCUAGUAUAGCUUGUUUGCAGAGGUAUUAUCGGGGGGAAAGAAAGCUGAAUAUUUCGAAAGGCUUUGUUGGGAGUGCCCUCUCAGAUAUGAUGAAGGGUUGAGCAUUUUUGCAGGUCUGCCUGUCCGUUGGGGAUGGAGGUCAACAUAUAUAGGAGUCUCCCUAACAACAAGUAGUAAUGCUAUUCCUUUACCCUGCUUAGUCAUAGCACGGUAGUGGGAGCUGCCAGUUUCACAUGUUUUAACUUUGUCAGAGCACUUUGAAAAAGUGGUCUGUGGUAUCUGGCUCUCGAGAUUCGGAGAACGAUGCCUCUUCGAUUUUUGAGAAAGCAAUCAUGCUGGGGGUCUGACUCUCGAGAUUCGGAGAGCCGUGUCUCUUCGAUUUUUGAGGAAGUAAUCAUGUUGGGAGUCUGGCUCUCGAGAUUCGGAGGGCGGUGCCUCUUCGAUUUUGGAGCAAGCAAUCUUGUUGGGAGUGUUGUCUCGAAUGUGAGUAAAGGUUGGACAUGUUUGCUAGUCUACCUUGCCACGAAGCACAAAGGUUGACACACAGGGACUUUCCAAUUAUCCAGCAAUGGUACUGUUCCUUUACCCUCUCUUCGAUUUUGAGAAAGUAGUCAUGUUGGGAGUCUGGCUCUCGAGAUUCGGAGGACGGUGCCUCUUCGAUUUUGGAGCAAGCAAUCUUGUUGGGACUGUUUUCUCGAAUGUGAGUAAAGGUUGGGCAUGUUUGCUAGUCUACCUUGCCACGAAGCACAGAGGUUGACACACAGGGACUUUCCAAUUAUCCAGCAGUGGUACUGUUCCUUUACCCUUGUGGGUAAUAAUAUGGUAGCUAGACCUUCUAAAUUUAUGUGUCUAAACUUUGUUAGUGCUGUUUCUUUGCUAUUCUUUUACCUUUCUUGGUCAGAGCGAUGUAGUGGGAGCUGCAAGCUUCACGUGCUCAACUUUGGCAGAGAACUUUGGCAAAGUGAUAUGUGGUACCCAUGAGUUAUUGUUGCGUGUGGGAAAUGGGUGAUUGAACAGUAAGAUUCAUGUGCUUUCUACUUCACCAGAAGUCUUCGAUAGAAUGCCCAUAAUUUCUGCAAAGCUGAGUGUGCGUGUGACAGGUGCUGACAAGGCUAGAAAAGUAGGUGCCUCUUCGAUUUCUGAGAUCGGCCCUCGUGGUCUCUGAGCAGCCCAGCUUUUGAGAAAGCGAGCGCCUCUUCGAUUGAUUCGGAGAACGGUGCCUCACCGAUUUUUGAGAAAUCAAUCAUGCUGGGGGUCUGGCUCUCGAGAUUCCGGGAGCAGUGUCUCUUCGAUUUUUGAGAAAGUAAUCAUGUUGGGAGAGUGGCUCUCGAGAUUCGGAGGGCGGUGCCUCUUCGAUUUUGGAGCAAGCAAUCUUGUUGGGAGUGUUUUCUCGAAUGUGAGUAAAGGUUGGGCAUGUUUGCUAGUCUACCUUGCCACGAAGCACAGAGGUUGACACACAGGGACUUUCCAAUUAUCCAGCAAUGGUACUGUUCCUUUACCCUCUCUUCGAUUUUUAAGAAAGUAGUCAUGUUGGGAGUCUGGCUCUUUAGAUUCGGAGGACGGUGCCUCUUCGAUUUUGGAGCAAGCAAUCUUGUUGGGACUGUUUUCUCGAAUGUUGGUAAAGGUUGGGCAUGUUUGCUAGUCUACCUUGCCACGAAGCACAAAGGUUGACAUACAUGGACUUUCCAAUUAUCCAGCAGUGGUACUGUUCCUUUACCCUUGUGGGUAAUAAUAUGGUAGCUAGACCUUCAAAAUUUAUGGGUCUAAACUUUGUUAGUGCUGUUUCUUUGCUAUUCUUUUACCCUUCUUGGUCAGAGCGAUGUAGUGGGAGCUGCAAGCUUCACGUGCUCAACUUUGGCAGAGAACUUUGGCAAAGUUAUCUGUGGUACCCAUGAGCUAUUGUUGCGUGUGGGAAGUGGGUGAUUGAACAGUAAGAUUCAUGUGUUUUCUACUUCCCCAGAAGUCUUUGACAGAAUGCCCAUAAUUUCCGCAAAGCUGAGUGUGCGUGUGACAGGUGCUGACAAGGCUGGAAAAGUAGGUGCCUCUUCGAUUUCUGAGAUCGGCCCUCGUGGUCUCUAGGGAGCCCAGCUUUUGAGAAAGCGAGCGCCUCUUCGAUUUCUGAGAUCGGCCUUCGUGGUCUUUGAGCAGCCCAACUUUUGAGAAAGCAAACGGCUCUUCGAUUUCUGAGAUCAACCCUCGUGAUCUUUAAGCAGCCCAACUUUUGAGAAAGCAAACGCCUCUUCGAUUUCUGAGCAGGCGCCUCUUUGAUUUCUGAAGCUCCGUCGAGUGCAGAUUUUUAUAGGGGCUGGCAUUAAGUUCCAAAGCACACUUGAAUCUCCACCAGUAGAAGCUUCAUUCUUGCACUUCUAAGAUCUUGAUUUGUCCGACCUCUUCUCUCUUCAACACCUUUGAAAAUGUCUGGCCCCUCCGACCGUCGUUUUGACUUGAACCUUGUUGAAGAGGCAGCCCCGCCUUCUCCAGACAACAUAUGGCGCCCAUCCUUCGUCUCCCCAACUGGUCCUCUUACCGUUGGGGAUUCCGUGAUGAAGAAUGAUAUGACCGCUGCGGUGGUGGCCAGGAACCUUCUCACUCCCAAAGAUAACAGACUACUUUCCAAACGGUCUGAUGAGUUAGCUGUUAAGGAUUCGCUGGCUCUCAGUGUUCAGUGUGCAGGUUCUGUGUCUAAUAUGGCCCAACGCCUAUUUGCUCGAACCCGCCAAGUUGAAUCAUUGGCGGCUGAAGUGAUGAGUCUCAAACAGGAGAUUAGAGGGCUCAAGCAUGAGAAUAAACAGUUGCACCGGCUCGCACAUGACUAUGCUACAAACAUGAAGAGGAAGCUUGACCAGAUGAAGGAAACUGAUGGUCAGGUUUUACUUGACCAUCAGAGAUUUGUGGGUUUAUUCCAAAGGCAUUUAUUGCCUUCGUCUUCUGGGGCUGUACCGCGUAAUGAAGCUCCAAAUGAUCAACCUCUGAUGCCUCCUCCUUCUAGGGUUCUGUCUAGUACUGAGGCUCCAAAUGAUCCCCCUCCGGUGCCUUCUCUUUCUGGGGCUCUACCGACUGCUGAGACUUCUCCUAAGCAACCUUUGUGAAGGCUCCCUCUUGUGUGUUUAUUUUGACUCAUGUAUAUGUACAUAUUUGUAGCUUAUCGGGGAUAUCAAUAAAUAAGCUUUCCUUCAUUUCAACGUAUUGUGUUAAAUACACCAAAGCCUUCUUCGCUAAGUUCUUUGAAUUUUCUUUUGUUGAAGCUUGUAUGUUGAAGCUUUCUGAGUGGAGCAUGUAGGUUGGGGUAGUGUUCCCUUAAUUUCCCGAGUGAGGAAAACUUCUUGGUUGGAGACUUGGAAAAUCCAAGUCACUGAGUGGGAUCGGCUAUAUGAAUCUUAGAACGCCAUUGUGCUCGAUCCUGUGUCAUGUCCUUCGUUAGAUCCAAGUACUCUAAGUCUUUUCUUAGAGUCUCUUCCAAAGUUUUCCUAGGUCUUCCUCUACCCCUUCGGCCCUGAACCUCUGUCCCAUAGUCGCAUCUUCUAAUCGGAGCGUCAGUAGGCCUUCUUUGCACAUGUCCAAACCACCGUAACCGAUUUUCUCUCAUCUUUCCUUCAAUUUCGGCUACUCCUACUUUACCCCGGAUAUCCUCAUUCCUAAUCUUAUCCUUUCUCGUGUGCCCACACAUCCAACGGAGCAUCCUCAUCUCCGCUACACCCAUUUUGUGUACGUGUUGAUGUUUCACCGCCCAACAUUCUGUGCCAUACAGCAUCGCCGGCCUUAUUGCCGUCCUAUAAAAUUUUCCCUUGAGCUUCAGUGGCAUACGGCGGUCACACACACGCCGGAUGCACUCUUCCACUUCAUCCAUCCAGCUUGUAUUCUAUGGUUGAGAUCUCCAUCUAAUUCUCCGUUCUUUUGCAAGAUAGAUCCUAGGUGCAUUCCUCUUCGACGCCGGCGCCGCACGAGACCGACGACAAAACCAAACCAGUUCUACUUAUCCAAACUUGUUCUUUCUUGUUCUAGUUCUUCUCCAAGGUUGUUCUUUACCUAAAGUCCUUCUCCCAACGACCAACAACCGUUGCCAACGGCUGUUAAUGUCAGUGGAGCAAUAGUUGCGGUAAGAAAAAAAGAAAUUAGUAAGAAAUCCCCAAGAGACAUUCCAUGUUAAAUAGGAAAAUCCCCAUGAAUUAUAUGAUCACACAUAAUAGCAUUACUUGGUUAGAGGUGGGGUGGAGCUUCCAGAUUUUCUGUGUGGGUUUCAGACAUGGGACUCUGAUAAUCAAGAGACAAUUCUAUGAAAGCCGAUCCAUUUCCUUAGCGACCUCUUUUGCAUAUAGUAUAUCUCAUUAUGAAGGUUCAAACUCAUUGCUAGAUACCUCAACAUCCUGAAUAAACAUGACCGCAUUGCUUAAACACCUAAAACUCAUCUUAAUUGCAAGGGCUAUGAAGAAAACAUAGCAGAAUAACACAUACAAAAUAUAAAAUGUUACCUGGCUAAUAAAGUACUCUGCAAAGGACAAGGGUGGCUUUAUUGAGCAAUAUCAUGUUUUGCACCAUCCAAAGUGUUCUUGAGCAACAUUGCCACCGUCAUUGGUCCGACGCCACCAGGAACAAGAGUUACCCAUCCGGCUACCUUACAUGCUUCCUAGAAAUCUACAUCUCCAACCAAUCUAUAGCCCGACUUUCUACUCGGGUCGUCUAUAGCAUUUGUGCUGACAACAAUGACAGCAGCACCUGGUUUUACACAACUACCCUUGAUCUGAAAUUCAACAAGGAAAUAUAAUAACAAAAAUGAUAGUAAACAGAUUUCAUUGAGUUAAAACAUAAACAAUAAUCGCCACGAGACGAAGACAAGGAAAGUACAGAACCGACGCAAUGCUAUCUGCACCAGCAGAUGUCAGUUAUUCAAUUUAAGCAACAAUAAAGCCUAGUGAAAGCUUAUAAAUUUCUAAUGCAUUGUCUUACAACUCCAAAGUGAACGAUGGAAUGUCCUUUUUCCUUCACUUGGGAUGAAUGGAACCAAACAACUAGUCCUAUUAUUCUAACUAGAACGAAACUAAGUACUAGAUUUUUUCAUGGAAAGCCAAAAAAUACGAGAUAAGAUAACACAUGCAUGUCAUAAGACGAUGUUACGACAUACCAAUGAACUAUAAUCUAUGAAUUGCCUACCAUCAUUGCUUGUCCUACUGCAGCAAUAAUAAUGUCCGCUUCGCGAAUGAAACUCUCUGGAUCAGGUGUGCGGGAAUGGACUACGUUAACAGUAGCAUCUGCUUUCAAAAGCAGCAAUGAAACUGGUAAUCCAACAAUGUUACUUCUGCCAACAAUCACUGCCUUCUUUCCCUUUAUGCUUAUCCCACUCCGUGACAUAAGUUCAAGACAGCCCUGCAGAAAAAAACCAUUAAAACAAAACUAUAACCUGUACAUGAAUGGCUUUCGCGAUUUUAUGUAAAUAUUGCUUGGACAAUAAGUUCUUUCCACCAUUUAAUUUCCAUAACUUUCUAUGCAACUAACACAAAAUAAACAUGACAGAAAAAACAUACAGAUUAAGCAGCAAACUUACUCGAAUUGAUAGGCAUAACCGACGAGAUCGAUGUUGGGAAUAACAACAGGGCCUCUCGAAAGACAUGCACGGAACGAUUUUCUCAGAAGAAGACGAUUGUUCUUUGCAGGAUCAAAUAUUCUCCUAAAACAAUAUGAUUGAUUUGUGGAUCAAAUUAAUACCCAGAAAUCAAUCAAAACCUAGAAAUCCCAUAAAUAAAUCAAAAUGCAGAAAUCCCACAAGUAAAUCAAAACCCAUAAUCGAUUAAACCCAGAAAUCGUUCAAAACCCACUAACAAUUUCACGAAUCUUCAUAACAAAAUCGAAGAAAACGAAGAAGAGGAAGUGGAAGAGGAAGCCCUGAGAGACUUAUGAGGACGCAGCGUUGGUCGUGGAAUGGUCCGACAAGGUUAUGGAGCAGAGCGGGACGACGAGAGAGAUGACGGUCUUACUAGUCCACUGGUAUUCGGGGGGUCUCGCUAAGACGAUCUAGCGAUCCCCUUAGUCGAGGCAAGUGAAAGGUAAUCCCACUAAAGUUAGUCCGGUUGUGGAACAAACAAGGGACUACAGUCUAGUCCAGUUCAGUCCCUCCUAAUCCGGUCAAACAAACGGGCCCAAAAGCUCUAGUGAGUAGUAAGUAAACUAUAGUUCACAAUAUAAACUAGGGUUCACUAACCAGGCUAUGCUAUAAAGCCAUAAGUACCAAUUCCCAUCCUAUAUUCUCUACCACAGGCUUUCUAACAAUGCCAACGCAUCCUCAAUCGUCUUCCCGUACUGCUCUUGUCAUCCAAGUUCUUCUAGAUCAUUAUUAUAAAACAUGCUCAUCAAAUUAAAUAUGUGUUAAUAGAGGUUAACUCGAAUUUUACAUUAUAAUUAAGCACCUUACUUAUCGCAUGUCCACACUAACAUUUUAAUUGAGUAAAUUUGAUAGUUCCUAUUGUAAUUUUAUUAUUGAGAAAGUGAUAGAGUAAUAUGAUUUGUCACUCUACACAGUGCAUCAGAUAAAGUAACCACUACUUUGUCGUUUUAAAAUGAAUCUCAUAUUUAUAAGAAAAGAAAUUUUGAACAAUCAUAUAAAUAAGUUUGGCUACUCUCUAUAUUACUAAUUAUAACUUUCUUUCACGUCCAUAACAUACUUUUCAAUAUUCAAAAAGUUUAAUAAUGACUUGAACUGUCGUCCAUCCAUAUUUCGGAAUAUUCAAAAAAGUAAAUUAUCUUACAGCUCAUGCGGAAAUUGAUAAGAGUACGUAAAGAGUCAAAGAAGGCAGUUUCCAAGUAAUGCCUGGGAAAAAUCUGGACAAAAAAGGACUUGACCAAAGUCAAGGAACUCAAUCGUUGAAGAAAAUGGAUCCGGAUCUCUCGGGAUCUAAAGGAACUGAGCUUAAAGAUCAAAUAAUCUGGAUCAUUGAAAUUUGAUCUAACGGUUACAAUUAUUAUAACUUUAGAGAUGCCCUAUAUUUGUAGUCAUUUGAUCAAAUUUCAAUGGUCCAGAUUAUUUGAUUCUUAAGCUCAAAUUUUUUGAGUCCGGAAGGAAUCCAGUUCAGAAGAAAAUGAGCUCAAUGUUGACCUGGUUGUUGCUUGAUCCUCUAAUUUAAUCAGAAGAAAUCGCGUAGUCGUCCAGCAACAAAGAUUUCUAUCUCAUAUUAUAUAUGUACAUAAAACAUUCACAUAUGUAUGUUUUUUUUAUAAGAAAUAACAUAUUAGUCAAUAAUUAUUUACAUUUGAUAUAGUAAAUUUAAUUAAUUCAUAAAAUAUAUAAGAAAUCUACCUAAAUUCCCCUAGGACGCCUAGGCGCCCGCCUAGAUCUCGCCUAGCCGCCUAGGCGCUAGGCGCCAGCCCGUCGCCCGACUAGCGCCUAGCGUUUUUUAGAACCUUGUUCAUAACACCCACUUUUCACACAGAGUAAAUUAUAGUAAUAGUCUUUUAACUUUAAUUAGAGGUCGCACUUGGUGCGAUGGCAAGUGCCUUCGCCCAUGAGCGGUAGGUCUCGGGUUCGAGACUUGGGAGCAGCCUCUCCAUAAAUGGGGGUAAGGCUAGCCGACAUUCACCUCUCCCAGAUCCUGCGUAAAGCGGGAGCCUUGUGCACUAGAUACGACCUUUUUAGUCUUUUAACUUUAAUUAAUUUGGAACAAUAGUCCCUUAACUAAAAUCUAUUAUAGUAAAUUAAGGUAUGAUAUUGUAAUGUUUAAAACAUGAUGUAUGAAAUUGUUAUUUGACAUAUAAUUGAAGUAGUUUUGUGCAAUUUAUCCUUAUCAAUUAAAUUGUUUUAUAGUGUCACAGUGUGGAAGGUCAACUUUUUUCAAAUCCAUAACAUACUAUUCAUUAAAAAAAUUAAUAGUGUCUUGAACUUUCAACCAUGCAUCUCGCUAAAUAAGUAAAAGAACAAUCUUACACGCCAUGCAGAAAUUGAAUCAUUCACGAAAAUGAGCUCAUUGUUGACCUUGUUGUGGUUUGAUCCUCUUAUUUAAUACGAAGAAAUCACAUCGUCAUCCAGCAGCUAAGUUUUUUAUUUCAUACUGAGGAUGAAAAAAAAAACAUUGCAAUUGAUUGAAACAGAGUCCCUCUGUAAUUUUGCCAUGGCUUGUCCACUGAUAAAUCUUCUCUUCUUCCUUUUAAUGUUUCUACCAUUUUCCACCCUAGCUCAAACUUCCAAAAACAUUUCUUUAGGCUCAUCCCUCACUGCACUAAAAGAUGGUGACUUAUCCUGGCCAUCACCAUCUGGUGAAUUUGCUUUCGGCUUUCGAGAAGUAGCAAAAGAUGGGUUCCUACUAGCCAUUUGGUUCGAUAAGAUACCAAAUCAAACUAUUGUCUGGUCAGCCAAUCGGGAUAAACUAGUGCCAAAGGGAUCCAAAGUGGAGCUUACGGCCGAUGGCGAGUUUAUUCUCAAUGAUGCAUCUGGCGAGCAAAUAUGGUCCGCUGAAUCUGCCGGUAGUGGAGUUGCCUAUGCAUCCAUGCUAAACACCGGAAAUUUUGUGCUGGUGAAUCGAAGUUCAUCCAAUGUGUGGGAAAGCUUUAGUCAUCCAACCGAUACAAUUCUACCCUCACAAACUCUAAAUCAGAAUGGCAUACUCUAUGCGCGCUACACGGCAACAAAUUACUCGACUGGUAGAUUCCUGUUUUCGCUAAAACCUGAUGGGAAUCUUGUACUUGCGACUACAAAGUUCCCACAAAAUACGCCCAAUGAAGAGUAUUGGUCGAUGGAAAAUCCAAAUAUUGGGUUUCAGGUCAUCUUCAACCAGUCUGGCCUUAUUUACGUCACAGCCAAGAAUGGAAGCUUACUCAGCACCAUAUCAUCCAAUAUGGUUUCAAUGAAAGAUUUUUACCAGAGAGCAACACUAGAGUAUAAUGGAGUAUUUAGGCACUAUGUUUACCCGAAAAACACCAGCUCGAGCUCUGGAAGAUGGAAUAUGACUUGGUCCACUUCCUCAUACGAACCUCCAAACAUCUGCACGUCGAUUAUGGAAUCUAGGGGCGGUGGUGCAUGUGGCUUUAACAGCUUUUGCACGAUUGAAGAUCAAGGACCGACUUGCCAGUGUCCAAAUGGUUACUCCUUUAUUGAUCCAGAGGAUGAGCGCAGAGGAUGCAAGCAAAACUUUGCUCCACAGAGUUGUGGUGAAACGUCAAAGGAGGAGACAGAUCUUUUCGAAUUUCAAGAGCUGAAAAACGCAAAUUGUUGGGGCGGAGACUACGCGCUUUUUGAGAGUGUAUCUGAGGAUUGGUGCCGACAAAAUUGCCUAGAUGAUUGUUUUUGUGCUGCGGCAGUUUACAACAGCGGUGGACAGUGUUGGAAGAAGAGACUCCCUUUCUCUAAUGGGGCAAUUGACCCCAGUAAUACUGGAAAAACUCUGAUAAAAGUUGGGAAACAAAAUUCGACUGUGAAAUGUGGUACCAACACAGAAAAGAAAGACCAUAAAACUUUGAUCCUUUUCGGAUCAGCCAUCCUGAGUGGCUCUGGGGUUCUAAACUUCCUCCUACCAUUGAUUACCUAUUUGGUUGUCUCGCGAUCCUAUUCGAGAAAAGCGAAGGUGAGUCAAACUCAUCCAGUCAUCUCUGGUGUGAAUUUGAAGCAUUUCACUUAUGAGGAGCUAAACAAUGCUACGAGCCAAUUCAAGGAAGAACUAGGACGCGGUGGUUCUGCAAUAGUUUUCAAAGGAGUUCUAGCCUCAGAUAAUGGGAAGAGCGUUGCUGUCAAAAGCUUAGACGCUAGGGUCGGAGAAAAUGAUUUGGAAUUCAAAGCGGAAGUAAGUGCUAUUGGCAGAACAAACCACAGAAAUUUAGUCCAGCU